Molecule: long non-coding RNA, 65862 nt
Filed under: Populus tremula
Lineage: Eukaryota; Viridiplantae; Streptophyta; Magnoliopsida; Malpighiales; Salicaceae
Description: long non-coding RNA (PTRE_LNC001170)
Source: RNAcentral
GUGUGCUGAGCUACCCCCAGAGAUCAAGAGGCACAUUCAUCCAGAACACCCUCUUCGUCUACUGCCAAAUCAUGAUACGAUGUGUGAUUUUUGCAACGAAACUUGCUAUGAGAGUUUUGUUUACUGCUGUUUUGUGUGCGAAUUCAACCUCCAUAUCAAAUGUGCUUUUCCACCGUGCGUUUAUGCAGCUGAUCAGGAUCAAAGGCAUCAAUUUAGACGCCUACUGAAUCCACUUCAUUCAAAUCAAUCUCCUUCACUUGCAAUGCAUGUGGCACAGAUGGAGAUGACUCCCCAUUCAUGUGCACCAUGUGCCAACUCGUGGUCCACGAAGAAUGCAUUUCAUUGCCAGGCACCCUUAAAACAGCACUGCACCAUCAUCCCCGAAUCAUCCACACAUACCAACUUCAACAAUGCAUCGAAUCUAUAAACAAGUACUGUGGAAUUUGCCGUCGGGAAGUUGACACAGAAUACGGAGUUUACUAUUGCCCAGACUGUGACUUUGUUGCACACGUGAAUUGUAGCAGAGAAUAUGGCGAUUCUGCAACAGAGACUGGAGGAGAAAACGAAGAAGAGCAAAGUGUGGCUGUUGAUGAUCAAUUCAUGGAACCUAGCUUUCGCGUUGUCCGUGAGAUCAAGUAUGGAGAGGAGAGAAUAAUUGAAGAGAUCAAACAUUUCAGUCAUCAACAUAACCUAAUCCUUACUGACAAGGUUGAUGAUGAUCUAAAGUGUGAAGGGUGCAUGUUACCAAUCUCAACUCCAUUUUACAGUUGUGCCAAUUGUAAUUUCUUUCUUGACAAAACCUGUAGCAUAGAAUUACCCAGGCAAAAAAAGUGGCAAUAUCACGCAAACCAACUGAUUCUUUCAUGGAACCGAUCGGAACGUGGUAUGUUCUACUGUCAUUUGUGUGCUCAAUAUUGUAGUGGGCUCAUGUACAGAUGUGAUGUAUGUGUACUCCAGAUUGCUGUCCGAUGCUUCAAAUCAAUAUUGAAAGAUUCUUUUAAACAUGGAGGUCACGAGCAUCCCCUUUAUCUUCCAGCGGACAGAAAGAAUAUUCUCCGUUGCCGUAUUGGGGGUGAGGGGUUUCCCCCUUUGCUUGCAUCGGACGGAGAGAAUAUUCCGCAUUGCAGUGGCUGUUGUGUCAGUGAAGAAUCAAAGGUAUUUUUGAAAUGUGCGGUUUGCGAUUUCAAGCUGGGUAUGAAAUGUGCUACACUGCCAUACAAAGCAAGACACGAGUAUGAUGACCAUCCUCUCUUCCUCACCUACAUUAAUGAAAAUGACUACCAGCCUUCCUGCAUAAUUUGUGAAAAAGAUAGAGACCCGAAGCUCUGGUUCUACCGUUGUGAGGAAUGCGACUUCGAUGCUCAUCCAGAAUGUGCUCUCGGGAAAUACCCAUACGUCAAGCAGGGGGGUUUAACAUAUCCUAAACACCCUCACCCUCUUGCUUUGGUCGACAAGACAGAGGAUUAUCGUCCACAGGCAUGCGAUAUUUGUGGUGACCUUGCGAUGACUUGGCCUUGAAUGUACUGAUCCUAACUGCAUUUUAUCGUCCACAGGAAAGAUGGCAAUGCUUUGACUCAUUAUGUAAUUGGAUUGCAGUUGUUGGCUUUUUUCUUAUUUUUGGGUUAUGAUUGUUGGGGUGAAUGGUUAGCUUCAUACUUAUUAUCUCUGUUUCUAUUUUCGCUUAUCAGAUCACUUUUUUUUCUUUUUUUUUCUGAACAAUAAAAGAUGCUAUUUCAUUAAAACUGUCAAUGUAGUUUGUUGUUUCUUUGUGCCUUCGUAAGUGACGAAGAUGUCUGACCUUCCACCAUUUUUUUAGCUUAGCAGGAAGCUCUCCAUAAAUUCUGCUUUUACAUUUUUGUUAUAGAUUUUAUUGUAAAUGCAAAAAUAUUUCAUAAAAAUAACACUUAUCUAAUGAUAUCAAUUAUUUUCAUUCAAAUAUUUAAUUUUUAUUUCCUUAACACAAUCUAAUAAUAAAUAAAUGUAUUUAAAUAAUAUUUAAAACGAAGAUCUCAAGGGCAUUCCAUAGCUUUGUCCUUUAAUAAGAUAUCUCAUGAAAAAAUAAGUUAAUUUAUGUUUUUGGUAUUUUUCUUCUUAAGAAGAAUAAAAAUAAAAAUAAGAAUAAGAAUAAGCCUAUGGUUAUCUAAUUUCAAAAUCACGAAGGGAUUUAGAGGCUCAAAUCCUAAAAAAAAAAAAAAAACUAAAUAGAAAAAAAAUUAUAAAUCAACUAAUAAAAUAUUAAGUCUAGAUAUUUUUUUUGGUUUUAUUUGAAAGUCUUGUUGAUUUUAAAUGAUUACAAAAUUCUAAUUUUAUAGAAAAUAAAGCUUUUAAAAUUUUCUAAUAAAAUUUGAGUUGGAUUAAGAUAAAAAAAAAUAAAAUUAUGCCCUUUACAAGAUUGCUUAUAUUUUAAAAAAUAUCAUAUAUUAAUCGUCUCGAAUUCAAAUUGUUGUUGCUUCAAUUUCGCAAGUAUCAAAUUAAAAAUCUCAAACCUUUUGCACGUGCAGGCAACAUUCCCAGCCUUCUCGGUAUUAAGAGUUCUUAUGGCAGCUUAUGACAGCUUUAUUGUCAUAAUACAACUUCGUUGGCAUAUUCAUCGGCAUUCACAGUUCUUCAAGAAUUCUCUUCAGCCAUAACAUUUCACAAACUCCAUUUUCAUAACCUUAUAUUCUACUUGAGCACUGCUUCUUCCAACCAUAUUUUGUUUCUUACUUUGCCAUGUAACCAUAGAUUUAAGUACAAUAUUCUAAUGUGGAUCUUCUAUCAAUAACUAAACCUGCCCAUUCUACAUCAGCUUCAAGAUGUUUUGCAUGGGGUGAAUGCAAACCCAGCAUUUGUAUUCCAAACAAAAAGCAAUAACAUGAUAAUUCAAUUAAGGUUAGGAAUUUUUUUUUUAAUAUAAUUAAUAAAAAUUUCAGCAGAGUUUUCUUUAUAUUUUUAGAUAUCAAGAUAUUAACUUUUUUUCUGUAAUCCUCAAUAAUCAAAUUUUUUACUCGUUUUAUAAUUCAAGACUGAUUGUGUAAAGAUAGAUAUAGUGAUCGCAUAAAAUAUCUUACUAAACUCACAAUAAAUGUAAUAUUAGAUCAUGUUUGUGAUAAGUAAAUCAGCUCUCCCACUAACUUUUGAUACUGUGUUGUAUUCACACUAGAUCACCUUCCUUGUCAUCUUCAAGUUUCUGAUUGGGAUCUAUUGGAGUGUCUGCUAGCCUACAACCACUCAUCCCAGUCUCCUUAAGAACAUCAAGGACACACUGCUGCUGUUGGGAUAUAACGAUCCCCUUCUUCGACAGAACAAUCUCUAAUCCAAGAAAAUCCUUAAUCUCUAUUUCAAUGGCAUAUGGGUGAUUAUUAGAUUGAAAGGUUUUCCUUCUUUGAGAGAACCUUUUUUAAAGUGAAAUAAACACAACUUUCAGUUUAUACGUUGCUUGUAAGAAUAGCACAUAUGAGUAUGAUUUUGAGAUUUGAAAGAACUCCUUGUUUAAGAGGAAAUUGGACUUUGUCAUGUGAAAUGAACACCUUUUCAAUUUAUACCCUGCAGAAAAUGAACAUCUAAUUAUUUGUCUAGCAAAGUAGCUUCAGUUGAAGAUUGCCUGUCUCACUUGCAAUGCAUGUGGCACUGAUUUGUUGAAGAUUAUUACCAGCAGACGUCACAUCUGUUGCAUUUCUUCAUUCAGCUAACCCAGUCUCACAAAAUUUUCCCUGUGUUUAGAAAGUUUCACCAAAACAAUAAAGCUAAAAAUGUCAUUACAAUUUCCUAGUAGAUAUUCAACUUUGCUAUGAGUUUUCAAAACAUGAUAAAAAGAUUUCUAUUUUUUUAUUCUGUUCAAGCAACAUUGACAUGGCAAUAAGCUAGCAUUGCACUGUUAUGGAUCAUGGCGAUUUGAUUUGUUUUUCAAUUUACAAUUUAGUCAAAUUCAAAGAAAACUUACACACAAAAAAGGAAAUAACCUGUUCAAAAUCUAAUUAGAAAUAAACUUCAUUUUGAUAUAUGGAAACUGAUUAUAAUGAUAACAUGACCAUUGAAACCUAAAAACAUAAAUUUGUUAAUUAAGAAAUGCUAGGAAAACUUUUUUUUUUUUUUACUAAUAUUUGUUUAUCAAUAAAAAUAAAAGGCAUCUAAAGUUUUUGCCAUUUACAAAAUUUUACAACACAUUGAGCCAUGAAAGUUGCCUGUUUUGGAAUGAGUCUAGAGAGGUCUUUGAAAUUGCAGUGAGACCUGAUUUAAAAAAAAAAAAUUUAAUUUUAAAUUUAAUUUUUUAUAUUUUUAUAUACAUAUUGUAUCGGUAUUAUAAAUAAAAUUUAAAAAAUAUAUAAUAAAAAUUUUAAUCCAUUCAAAAAUAAUAAUAAUAAUAAUUACCACUAUCUUAUACCACAUCCACAUAGCAUCGGUUUUGCUUUGAAAACAACUUGGCGACUGAAUGGUGGUCUAGUUAAACGUAUUUUUCUAAUCAGUGAUUUUUCUUUUAAAUUCAAGACGGUUGGCAUGUACUUGUGCUUCGUUAUCUUAUUUAAUUUUUUAUUCUAUAGUAAAAAGGUAUUUUUUUUAUUAGUUUAUAUGUCAAUCAUGAUUGAGUUUUUUAUUCAAAUGAUUUUAAGGAUAAACAAUUUAAAGUUAUGAAUCAUCGAACAAUCCAUUUAAAGUUAUAUAAUUAUGUUGUGAUGUAUCUUAAAUCAAAUAAAAAUUAUACUAGAUUAUUAACAUUUUUUAAUAAAUAUAAAAGAAAUAUUCAAACAUUACUAAUAUAUUUUUAAACAAAAAAAAAUUUAAAUAAUAUGAGGGUUAAUUUGAUAUAAUUUGGUUGAUUUUACAAGUUUACAAGUAAUCUAUAUAACCCGAAAAAACAUAAUUUGAUUAAAAAAAAAUUUAAGAUGAUAUAUUUUUUUAAUAUUAAGAUAAAAAUAUAUUAAAUUAUUUUAUUAAAUUAAAUCCAAAAAAAGUGAGUUUUUUUAACAGAAGCAAGAAAAACAUUUUUUUGUAAUGAUUUAUGUGCACAUUAAAAUGUGUUUUAUAUACUUGAUUUGGUUCUUGAUCUAUAGUAAUGAACCGGCUUUAUUUAAAAAUUUCUCAAAAAAUAAAAUUGCGUUGAACAAAUUAAUAAAACUACGCUAUCUCUUCUUUUUUUAUAUAUAUUAAAUGAUUGGUUAAAGAUGAAAUAAAUAAUUCUAUAUUAUUUGUUUGUACGUAUUACUUUUAAGCAUAGACUCUUUUAUUUGGUGAUAUAUAUUUUUAUCUAUGUUGUUUGCCUUUUUUUUCUGUUGUGUUUUUAUUCAUUGACAAUCGAGGCUCAAGAUGUCAAUUGGAUUUUAUUUGUUGUGAGCCAAUCUUUUAUUUUUAAUGAGAUCAUGUAUUUUUAAAAUUCAUCUUGAUGUCUUACUAUGCAUUUACACAUCACUUUCCGCUUUUAGGAACUCUGAAAGUGGAUCCUCCACAACAACAACUGCAUUUUACAUUGAGAAUGAAUGGCCAAAAUUUAAAGAAUACAUAGUGGCUGUAGAAGAUGAGGAAUGGGAGGAGGAAAACAUAUGGGAAUUCACAAAAUUAAUAGAACAACACGAACAGGCUUGGAGGCCCGCUAAAGAGGAACUUGAAACCAUAAAUGUAGGCAAUGAAGAAAUCAAACGAGAGCUGAAGAUAGGGACUUUGAUCACCCCUGCAGCAAAGGAAGAGUUGAUUGCACUGCUCAAAGAUUAUGUGGAUGUCUUUGCCUGGUCCUACGAGGAUAUGCCUGGUUUGGAUACAGACAUUGUGGUACAUAAAAUACCACUGAUGGAAGGAUGCAAGCCGAUCAAACAGAAGUUAAGGAGAACUCAUCCAGAGAUCUUAAUCAAAGUAAAGGCGGAAAUUGAAAAACAAUGGGACGCCGGUUUUUUGGAAGUAGUGAAGUAUCCACAAUGGGUGUCAAAUAUAGUGGUGGUACCCAAAAAGGAAGGUAAAAUCAGAGUUUGCAUGGACUUUAGGGACUUAAACCGGGCUAGCCCUAAAGAUAAUUUCCCUUUACCACACAUAGAUAUGUUAGUUGAUAAUGCAGCACGCAGCUCCACAUAUUCUUUCAUGGAUGGGUUUUCAGGCUACAAUCAGAUAAGAAUGGCGCCAGAGGAUAGGGAGAAGACAACCUUUGUAACACCAUGGGGAACCUUUUGCUACAAAGUCAUGCCAUUUGGUUUAAAGAAUGCUGGGGCCACUUACCAAAGGGCUAUGGUGACUUUGUUUCACGACAUGAUGCACAAAGAGAUUGAAGUAUACGUGGAUGACAUGGUUGCUAAAUCUAAAGAGGGAGAGAAUCAUGUCCAAGUAUUGAAGAAAUUAUUUGAAAGAUUAAGGAAAUAUAAGUUGAGGCUUAACCCAGCAAAGUGUUCAUUCGGGGUGAAAUCCGGUAAGCUGUUGGGAUUUGUGGUGAGUGACAAAGGGAUAGAAGUGGAUCCUGAAAAAGUAAAAGCUAUUCAAUCUAUGCCACCCCCAAGACUGAGAAGGAGGUGAGAGGUUUCUUAGGAAGGUUGAAUUACAUCGCUCGGUUUAUAUCCCAUUUAACCGCGACUUGUGACCCGAUCUUUCGUUUGUUGAGGAAGAAGAACCCUGGAAUAUGGAAUGAAGAGUGUGAUAAAGCUUUUGAGAAAAUCAAGCAGUACUUGCUAAAUCCACCUCUGCUUGUUCCUCCCGUACCAGAAAGGCCAUUGAUUUUAUACCUAACAGUAACCGAAACAGCAAUGGGAUGUGUGCUUGGGCAACAUGAUGAAACCGGAAGGAAGGAAAGGGCCAUUUAUUACCUAAGCAAGAAGUUCACGGAAUAUGAGUCUAGGUAUACUGUGAUUGAGAAGCUGUUGUGCACUAGCAUGGGCUACAAAGAGAUUACGUCAGUAUAUGUUGUAUCACACUACAUGGUUAAUUUCCAAGUUAGACCCGUUAAGGUACAUUUGUGAAAAGCCUUAUCUAUCUAGCCGAAUUGCAAGAUGGCAAGUUCUUUUGGCUGAGUAUGACAUAGUAUAUAUGACAAGGAAAGCCGUGAAAGGGAGUGUUAUUGCCGAUCACCUGGCUGACCAUGCUAUGGAAGAUUAUGAGCCGUUAAACUUUGACUUUCCCGAUGAAGAUGUGUUUGCAAUCGAGGAAGAGAAAUCAGAUUGGUGGGUUAUGUACUUUGAUGGUGCUGUAAAUGUAUGUGGUAACGGAGCGGGGGCAGUGAUAAUCUCUCCUGAUAAGAAGCAGUAUCCGGUUUCAGUUAAGCUGCAGUUCGGGUGCACCAACAACACGGCUGAGUAUGAAGCUUGCAUUCUUGGUUUAGAGGCUGCAUUAGAGAUGAACAUAAAAAGAUAGAUGUGUAUGGAGAUCAAUGCUGAUCAUUUGCCAAGUAAAAGGAGAAUGGCAAACCAAAGAAGAGAAGUUAAGGCCUUACCAAGAAUACCUGUCUAAGCUGCUAAAGAAUUUGAGGAAAUAGAGUUCACCCAUCUGGGAAGGGAAGGGAACCAGUUUGCAGAUGCUUUGGCCACACUAGCAUCUAUGGCCAAGAUAGACUUUGGGCACAAGGUACAGCCAGUACACAUCAAUAUCAGAAAUAACCCCGCUCAUUGUUGCUCAGUCGAAAGAGAAGUGGAUGGAAACCCGUGGUACUAUGAUAUCAAGAAUUUCAUCCAAAACCAGGCAUAUCCCAUGGGGGCAUCCAAAAUCGACAAGAAGACCUUGAGAAGGUUGGCAAUGGAUUUUUAUCUUGAUGGGGAGAUUUUGUAUAAGAAAUCAUCUGACGGGACUUUGUUGAGAUGUUUGGAUGAAUUUGAGGCAAAAAGCACAGUACGGGAAGUCCAUGAAGGGAUUUGCUCAACUCAUGCUAGUGGACAUGUGAUGGCCAGGAAGAUACAAAGAGCCGGGUACUUCUGGAUGACGUUAGAGAAGGAUUGUAUCGAUUAUGUCCGGAAAUGUCAUAAGUGCCAAGUAUACAGUGACAAAAUCAAUGCUCCUCCGGCUCCUCUGUUUAAUUUAACAUCUCCAUGGCCUUCGCGAUGUGGGGAAUUGAUGUGAUUGGACCGGUAAACCCAAAAGCCAGCAAUGGUCAUAGGUUUAUUCUCGUGGCUAUCGACUACUUCACAAAAUGGGUAGAAGCUGGGUCAUUUGCUCAUGUGACGCAAAAAGUGGUGAAGAAAUUUAUUGAGAGAGAUUUGAUAUGUCGGUAUGGUCCACCAGAAAAGAUUAUAACUGAUAACGCCCAGAAUUUCAACGGCAAGAUGAUAAUAGAGCUCUGCACUAAAUGGAAAAUCAAGCAUUCCAAUUCUUCGCCAUAUAGACCAAAGAUGAAUGGUGCGGUAGAAGCUGCUAACAAGAAUGUCAAAAAGAUUAUUCAGAAGAUGGUAGUCACCUAUAAGGAUUGGCAUGAGAUGUUGCCAUUUGCCCUUCAUGCAUAUCGCACCGCAGUUCGAACCUCAACAGGAGCCACCCCGUAUAUGUUGGUAUAUGGAAUGGAGGCGGUGAUGCCUUUAGAAGUGGAAAUCCCAUCAUUGAGAGUGUUGUUAGACUCUGAGCUGGAAGAGGUAGAAUGGGCAAAGGUUAGAUAUGAACAGUUGAAUCUGAUCAGUGAAAAGAGGAUAGCCGCGAUCUGUCAUCAUCAACUCUACCAAAGAAGGAUGGCUAAAUCAUAUGACAAGAAGGUUCGACCUCGAGGAUUCCACGAAGGAGAUCUUGUACUAAAGAAAAUAUUACCUUUACCUGGAGAAGAUCAGAGUAAAUGGGCACCUAACUACGAGGGGCCUUACGUGGUGAGGAAAGCAUUCUCAGGAGGAGCUUUGUUACUGUCUAGAAUGGAUGGAGAAGAUCUAGUUAGGCCUGUGAAUUCUGACUCUGUAAAGAAAUACUACGCUUGAUGUAUUUCGUAAUUUCCCAGUCAAUAAAAUAAAUUUCGGCCAUGAAUUCUCUUUGUAAAGAGUCCUUUUAUAUAUAUAUAUAUAUAUAUAUAUAUAUAUAUCAUAUGAUCUCAUAGCAUUUGAAAUCUUUUGUUUAAAAGAACUUUUUAUGGCAUGACUAAGAAAAUGACUCCAUCAAUUGGAGAACCAAAUCAAAUCUACUUGACAUAUAGUUGCACAUCACACUAGGGGGCAAAAGGUGCACGAAGUGCACAUAAGGGUCUAUAGUAAACCCAAGCCCAAAAGGGGUAUCAUAAUAAAAACUUCUAAAAAAGCAUCUUUUAUAAGAUUUGCUAAUUGCAUUAAAAGUUUCAGUUUUCAUGAACAAAACCAAUUUUUUCCUUUGGCACAAAACUCAAUGGAGCAAGAAAGGGCCCCAUGAGAAAAGCUUGAAACAAGAGCGAAGAGGUUUACGACGAAAGGGGGACCUAUGUUUCCAAGAUAGGUAACAAAAACAUACAUGCAUAUUAACCAUAAUACAUUGCUUUCAACAUUUGUCAGAUCGGGAUUUCAUCACCAUUUCUCAGGUAGCGCGUUUUCUAAACCCUAUCUCUUUUCGAGUGCGUUGUAUGAGCCCUCACUUUUUGGGUAGUGCGUUUUCUAACCCUAUCUCUUUUCGAGUGCGCUGUUUGAGCCCUCACUUCUUGGGUAGUGCAUUUUCUAACCCUACCUCUUUUUCGAGUGCGCUGUUUGAGCCCUCAUUUCUCAGGUAGUGCGUUUUCUAAAACCCUACCUCAUUUCGAGUGCGCCUUUGAGCCCUCACCAACAUUUUCUGGGUAGGUCACCCAUUACAACGCGACCAUUUUUUCCAAUUUUUUUUUUACUUGGGCAGGUCACCCAUAAGAAUGAGGCCAUUCCUUCCCCUGGGUAGGUCACCCAAAGAAUGAGACCACACUUUCUUUUUCCUUGGGUAGGUCACCCAUCACAAUGAGACCAUGUUUUUUUUUUGGGUAGGUCACCCAUCACAAUGAGACCAUUCUCCAUCUUUUUUUACCUGGGUAGGUCACCCAUAAGAAUGAGGCCAUUCCUUCCCCUGGGUAGGUCACCCAAAGAAUGAGACCACUCUUCCUUUUUCCUUGGGUAGGUCACCCAUCACAAUAAGACCAUAUUUUUUCUGGGUAGGUCACCCAUAAGAAUGAGACCAUUCUCCAUUUUUUAUUUAUCUGGGUAGGUCACCCAUAAGAAUGAGGUCAUUCCUUCCCCUGGGUAGGUCACCCAAAGAAUGAGACCACUCUUUCUCUUUUCCACUCGGGCAGGUCACCCAUCAUAAUGAGACCACACACACAUUUUUUGUAUUGGUUAUGAGUAAAGGAAUCGCCGGAUGGGAUUCCAGGUUAAAGGAGAUCACCAGAUGGGAUCUCGGAUGGAUUUCCAUGAUUGAUAAAACUAAAGUAAGAAUUCAGAGGAUCGAUGGAUAAGGAUCUCGAUAUAACUAAGUUUUGAUCAUAGUUUUUGGGCUAAGGAGGUUUGUUGUAAAAGACAAAGUUUCAGAUCAAUUAAGCUUCGAACAGAUUAGUUUCGGGAGUUCCGUUUUGGGUUUAUCUUUAUAACACUUACUGCGCAAAACCCAUGCUCCGUAAGUAUUAUAAAGAGGGGGCAUCUGUUGUAACCCAUUUUUGGGUCCCCAUAAAAAAUAAAAUAAAUAGCCAAAAGAGUUUAGAAAAAAUAACAGGAGGCAGAAGCGCUCAGGAAACAGUCAGAAAAUUGGUCAAGGAAUUUAAAAAUACAAGGAUUGAAUUUUUUACAGUAUAUUCUUGAAGGAUGAAAGCCCUAUUGAGAAGGAAAAAUUUGAAUUUUGAGGAGAAAAGCCCAAAUUUGGAUGUUUAUGGACUUAAUUGGAUUUUAUAUGAUUUAUAGAAGAUUUGAUUGCAAGAAAAAUUGAUUUUUAAGUCAAUUUGGGCUUAAUUUGAAGAAAUUUAAGUUCUGGGGCCAAAUAUAUUUUUUUAGGGUCAAAUCAGGGGCUUAAUUGCAUAAAUAUUGAAGUUUAAUGGCCAAUUAGGGACUUAAUUGUGAAAUCCGAAACCAGGGACCAAUUUGGAGAAGGCGCAAAGAUAGAGGGGCUGUUGGUUGUUUCAGGGCUUAAUUGAAGAAUUGGAAGUUUAUUGAUCAAUUAAGGGCUUAAUUAUGAAAAUCAGAGGCCAAGGACCAAAGUGAAAACGCGGCCAACUAUAGAGGUAGGGACCGAAUUUGGCAGGGACGCAAUUGAAUUUUAUUCUUGAUUGAAGGACUCGAUUGAAGGACUUAAUAGAAAAAUGACAAAUUAGGGACUGAUUUAAAAACAAAGUUUCUCUGGCGCCUUUAUUUUAAAAUGAAACGGCGCGUUUUGUCCAAAACGACGCCGUUAUGCAUAAAUAAAAAAAAAAAAAAAAAAGAGACCGAACGGUGCCGUUUUGAACGGCACUGUUCACUGUCUUCUUCCCCCCCGAAGAUUACAGCGGGGAAGAAGGAAAAGUUUGUAUUUUUUUUGCAGGUCCCUCUUGCCACCGACCGAGGCCCCACGCCGGUGGGCCACCGACAGAAAACAAUGGCCGACAACCUGCCUCGUUGCCGAAGCCGAGGGAGGCCCGCCGCUCCUCGACCCGCUCCGGGGCUCCACGUUGAAGUCACGCCAUGGUUCUAUAAAUAGAGAACCGAAAGGGAGAACAAGGGACGAACGAAAAAAAAAAAAGAAAGGAGAGGAACCCCGAAACAAAAAAAAAACGAAGAGAGAGAGGAAGAGAGAGAAACACUGUAACAGAGGAGAGAGAGCCACUGAAAACCCAAGAAAACCGAGAGCAAAGGGAGGUUUGAAGCCGGGAGGGAAUUUAAGAAAACAAAACCAACCCAACGAGCCGAGAGGACGUCGCCGGGCCACUUGGAAUUCGCCGUGAGAAGCCGCCGUCCGUGAAGCUAGGACACUGCCACCACCACCGCAGCCCCGCCAGCAAACCACCUCCUCCACCGCACCAGGUACGCCUCCUUUCCUCCCCCUGCAUUUUUUUUAAUCUAUAUCAGUUUUGCCUCCUGCAUGCAGGAGGCGGGGGGGGGGGAAUAAUUCCCCCCCCCCCCGUGCUCUUUUUUUUAUUUCUCUGGGACAGAUUGUGUCUGGCCCAGACCGAGGUUAAUUAGUUUGUUGGGCCGAGAUCGGCCCAGUCCCUGUUGGGCCGAGAUCGGCCCAACGACUUUUGGGGCUGGGUCCGGCCCAGUUUAGUUGGGCCGGCCCAGCCCCUUUUAAAUAUAUAAAUAUAUUAUAAUUAUAUUAUAUUAUUAUUAUUAUUAUAUGUGUGUGUAUAUAUAUAUAUAUGUUUUUUUUUGAAAAAAAUUUGAAAAAUCUAAAAAAAAUUGUUGUUAUUUUCUUUUCAUAUAAAUAUAUUUUUGUUUUAUACAUUUGGUUUGUAUUUUUAUACUGUAAAGAUACAAAACCAGUGUUAAAAAUACCCGGUUCUCGUCAAAACAUCAAAGAUUUUUCAUAAUAAAAAAUGUUUUUGCUUUCAAAAAAAUUCUAAAAGGUCCCUAAAAAUAUUGUUGAUUUUUCUGCAUAUUUUUAUCAAAGCGGAUUAAUAUUGGGUUGUAUUUUUAUACCGUAAGGAUACAAGCUCAGUAUUAAAAUACUCGAUUUUCAUCAAAGCAUAAAAAAAAAAUAUAUUUUCCAAAAAUUGUUUUUUUUUGUUUUAAAAUACGGCCUAGUCUCUCCAAUAUAUAUAUAUAUAAAUAUUAUAACAUCAUAUUUUCACACAACGAAGAAAAUUUUCAAAACAAUAUAUGUAUUAACAUGUAUUUUGGCUUUAAUAACCAGUUUAUUCAAGCCAUGAGAACUAGGCCAAUAUUUCAAAAAUUCUAAAAAAUCUUUUUUGUUUUCUUUUAGUAUUUGGGAUUACGAAUUUAUACAUAAAACGUAUUCCUAAAUAUUAUUAAUAAAGUUUUGGGUAUAGACGUUAGAACGGUUAGGAUUUUACCCGAUAAGAUAAAAGACCUUCUUACCGAGGAGGAUUUUUCUUGAACCAUAGACAGACCAACGACUAGAAGUAUAAUAACACUUUAGUUUUUAUCAGACAAUAAAACAAUGCAGCUUACCUUAGGUAGGGCGUAUUUGGGGUGCUAAUACCUUCCCUUUACGCAACCAGUCUCCGUACCCGAUCUCUGAGACCAGUUAGGGUUCCUAGUGACCAAAAUACUAGAUGGCGACUCCAAAAAAUCAAACCAAAUAAAAAAAUUCGCCAGUCGAACCCGCAAUUGAAAAAUUGGUUUUUUUUAGGGUGCAACACUUUUUAUCAGAUCUUGUGAAAAUACUGGUUUAUUAUUUCUUGUUCUCGUAUAACAGUAGAGGGUUAUAUAUAUACAAAGCCUAGAAAGCUAUUUUAGGAAUAUUACUACGGGCCUAUAAUCUUGCAGAAUUAAAUACAAUGAAUCAAACUAAUUAGGAAUACACAGCUCAUUGACACUCCCCCUCAAGUUGGAGCAUAUAUGUUGCUCAUGCCCAACUUGCUAAGUGAGUUGUGAAAUACUUUGCCUGUGACAACUUUGGUGAGGACAUCUGCAAGUUGAUCUUUGGAUUUAACAAAGGACACCUCGAUGAUCUUUGCCUCGAGUUUUUCCUUGAUGAAAUGUCUAUCAACUUCAACAUGUUUGGUUCUAUCAUGUUGUACUGGAUUAUGUGCAAUAUCUAUUGCAGCUUUGUUGUCACAAUUCAAUUGCAUGGCAUGAUUGGGUUUGAACCCCAAUUCCCCUAAUAAAUUCCUUAUCCAGAGUAGCUCACAUACUUCGUGUGCCAUACCUCGAUAUUCUGCUUCAGCACUUGAUCUUGACACUACGUUCUGUUUUUUACUUCGCCAAGAUACUAGAUUGCCUCCCACAAAGGUAAAAUAUCCAGAUGUAGAUCGUCUGUCAGUAAUAGAGCCUGCCCAGUCUGCAUCGGUGUGACCCUCGAUAUCUAAAUGACCAUGUCGUGAGAACAUCAAUCCUCUUCCAGGAGCUGACUUCAAGUAUCUCAGAAUUCGGUUUACUGCAUCCAUGUAGGCUUCACUUGGUGCAUGCAUGAACUGACUUACCACACUUACAGCAUAUGCUAUAUCAGGUCUAGUGUGUCCCAAAUAAAUCAACUUACCUACAAGGCGUUGAUAUCUUCCUUUGUUGGUGGGUACCUGAUUAGGAUAUUCACCAAGUUGAUGAUUCAACUCCAUUGGCGUGUCUGCUGGUUUACUAGCUAACAUUCCAGUGUCAGUUAAAAUAUCAAGGAUAUAUUUCCGUUGUGAUAGAAAUAUUCCUUGUUUAGAACGAGCCACUUCGAUGCCUAAAAAAUACUUUAGAGCACCAAGAUCUUUCAUUUCAAACUCACUUGCCAAGUGCCGCUGCAGUGCUGCCUUUUCCUCCGGGUCAUUCCCUGUAACUACCAUAUCAUCAACAUAUACAAUAAGGGCAGUGACUUUACCUUUCUUAUGUUUCAAGAAAAGUGUAUGAUCUGAGUUACUUUGCUUGUAUCCGAACCCUUUCAUUGACUUGCUGAACUUUCCAAACCAUGCUCUAGGUGAUUGUUUCAAUCCAUAAAGAUACUUUCUUAGUUUACACACCAUGUUGCCUUUAUCAGGUCCCAUCUUGCAUCCCGGAGGGGGAUCCAUAUAGACUUCCUCUUCUAGAUCACCAUGCAAAAAUGCAUUUUUGACAUCAAACUGGUGUAAUGGCCAAUCUAGGUUUGCUGCCAGAGAAAGAAGUACUCGAAUUGUGUUAAUCUUGGCUACAGGAGCAAAUGUCUCCCCAUAAUCAAUCCCAUAAGUCUGAGUGUAUCCUUUCGCCACCAAUCUUGCUUUGUAUCGCUCAAUGGAGCCAUCUGCCUUGAACUUUACUGUAUAUAUCCAUCUACAACCCACUGUUCUCUUUCCUUUUGGAAGGAUAGUCAUCUCCCAAGUGGAAUUCUUCUGAAGGGACUCCAUUUCAUCAUUCAUUGCUUGGGACCACUUGGGAUCUUUCAAAGCUUCCUGCACAUUACUUGGAAUAGAUACAGUGGAUAAUUGACAUACAAAUGAUGCACAUGACAGAGAUAGCCUAUGUAGGGACACAUGAUUAGCAAUAGGGUAUUUAACAUUUGUUUUAAGGUCAGGGUCAUAUUGUUGUCUAGGAAUACCUCUAGUCGUACGAGGAGGUAGUUGAUAACUUGUGUUUCCUGUAUUACUUGACUCAGGUAGAGUGAUUGAGUUGGAGUUUGAAUGUUUAAUUACCUGUGGGAAAUCAUCAGGACCUGAUUGGAUGUAUGGUGAUGGUACUGUAGUAGGAGUUGUAGAGGGGAAAUUAUCUGAACUAGUACCAGCAUCUGGAGUUCUUAGUGACUCUUGAUCUUGUUGCACCACUAUAACUAGUUGUUCGGAAUCUGAUUGCUCAGUACCAGCAUCUAGAGUUCUUAGUAACUCCUAUUCUUGUUGCACCAUUGUAACUGGUUGUUCAGACACCGACUGCUCUAAAACCUUUUGUUGAAUUUGGAUCUGAGUAUCUUUUGCAAAGAUAGAGCUCUCCCCCUACAGAGGAUGCUUAGAGACUCCCCCUGAGUAAUAGAACUCACUCUCGUGGAAAGUCACAUCUGCAGUAAUGUGCAAGGUUUGAGUAGGAGGAUGGAAACAUUUAUAGCCCUUCUGAGUAUCAGCAUAACCCACAAAGACACAACGCAGAGCACAUGGAUCAAGCUUGCCACGUUGGUGUGGAUAUAACUGAACAUAAACAACACAUCCAAAGAUACAUGGUUCGAGAUUUGGUGUAGAUGGCAUGGUGGGGAGAGUGGUCAAUGUCUGAAAUGGAGUUUUAUACUGAAGAGUGCUAGAUGGUGUUCUAUUAAUGAGGUAAGCAGCAGAACAAAGAGCCUCCCCCAAAAAAUAAUGAGGUAAACUGGCCUCAAAUAAAGAGGCACGAACAACUUCCAAGAGAUGUCGAUUAUUACGCUCUGCGACACCAUUCUGUUGUGGUGUAUAUGCACAUGUGGUGUGAUGAACAAUACCAUGUUGACUUAAAAAAUUAUGAAGGUCAUUGUUGACAUAUUCUCCUCCAUUGUCAGACCGGAGGGUCAUGAUUUUCUUGUCAAACUGAGUAGCAACAUAUUGAUAAAAUAGUUUGAAUUUGAUGGUAACUUCACUUUUCUGUCUUAAAAGAAACACCCAGGUCAUCCGAGUGCAAUCAUCAAUAAACGUCAUAAACCACUUAUAACCAGUAAUAGUAGGAACUCGUGAUGGUCCCCAAACAUCAGAAUGAACAAUCAUGAAAGGCAUGGAACUUUUAUUCAACCUUAAUGGGUAAGAAAUGCGAUGACUUUUCGCCAAAAUGCAAGUUUCACAAUGAAAGUCUGAUUCAAUAAACUGAGAAAACAAAUCUGGAAAUAGAAGUUUCAGAUAACCAAACGAGGCAUGCCCUAAUCGUCGAUGCCAUAACCAAAUUUUCUUCAUUCUGAUGGACUCACCUCCUCUCACAUGAUGUGCAUGACUCAAUCUCUUAGUUAUGUCAUCUGUCAAGUCCAGAUAAUAUAAUUUUCCCCUCCUAGUACCACAUUCAAUCACGGCCUUGCUGAGAAGAUCCUGAAAUAGACAAUAUAAUGGCCAAAAACACACGGUGCAAUUAAGGGAAUCAAUGAUCUGAGGAACAGAUAACAAGUCAUAGUCCAGUGAAGGGACAACUAAGACAUGAUCAAGACUUAAUGAGGAUGUGAGAGAUAAGGACCCUUCUCUCAUAACUCGGGAGGUGGUGCCAUUGGUACUAACAAUAUGUGUUUGGCUGGAAGGUGUGGCAGAGUGUAACCCAAUAAAACUAGAUGUCAUGUGAUUAGUGGCACCAAUGUCAAUAAUCCAUGAUCUAUUACAAGUAAGUGAAGAUGUGCAAGAGUUACCUGAGGUGGCCAAGGCCUUGGAGUCAGUUGUACCUGAUGGAGUUUCUAAUGUAGUCUCCUGAGAUGAUUGGGCAGAUGCAAAUGAUGCUCGGUUUGAGUCCCUCUUGCGCCUUUUGUGAACCCAUCCUUCUGGAUAACCAAUGAUCUCAUAACAGCCCUUAAUUGUGUGAUUAUCUAAACCACAUUUGGUAUAUUUCAUUGGUGGUCGGUUACGAGCAGGGUCAACGUUAUAGCUAUGCAGCCGAGAUUGUUUUACCCUUGCACCAGCCAAGGCUGUGGCUGCGUUGGUUGCACCAGCUUCAGACAUGGUUCCUUGUUUGUUACUUUCCCUUUUAAUAUGUGCGUAUGCACCCUCAAGUUCUGGUUUAGGCUCCAUCCUCAAAAUCUCUCCUCGAAUUUCAUCAAAAUUAUUGUCUAAACCUGCAAGAAAUAUGUAAACUCGAAGACGAUCAACCUCUUUCCGUCUAAUUUCAAUGUCUGAUGGAUGCUCCAUUGUGCUUGGAUUUAAUUGAUCAAGCUCCUGAAAAAUCUCAGUAAGCUCACUGUAAUACUUGGCAACUGAUGCACCAGCUUGUCUCAUUAUGAAUGAUCUUCUGUGCAGGUCAUAAAUCUUAGCUUCAUCAGCACCAUCUGAAUAGGUUUGCUUGAUUGCAUCCCAGACUUGCUUUGCUGUGUCAUAACGAAUAAACCUUUUAAUUUGAUUAGGCUGCAUGGCAUCAAACAACCAACUCUUGACUUGGCAGUCUGAUGCUCGCCAUUUAUUAAAUGUGGAAUUUGUGACUGCAGGCUGGGCAAUAUCACCAGUCAGAUGGCCAUGCUUUUCUCGCCCAGCUAUCUUCAUCUCUAUGAUUUGAUGCCAUAAAGAAUAGUUAUUCUCAUCAAGUUUUAUUCCUGCAGAGAAGUUGGAGGUGUCACUCUGCAAUGUGACUAUUUGUGUGGUAGUGUUGGAGUCUCCUGACAUGAAAGAUUGAUUAGUGUUUGUUGAACAAUCAUCAUCGGCCAUGAUAUUGGCUUACAAGUGAUGAGAGAAAGGAGAAAGAACAGAGUAAUUUGACUAAUGUAACAAAAAAAAAAAGAGCAAGUAGAGUAAUUUGGUUGAGGGAACGGUGAAAGGUGAUUUAGUAUUUCUUUUGACUUGUGGGUUGGAAUGUGAAUAAUCUGACUGUGUGGAUGAUGGUUGCUGCUGCGAAGGGUUCUGUUGGGUUUGUAUGACGGCUGCUGUUGCGGAAACGAUUUAUAAAAUUAGGGCAAGAGACAGUCAAGAUCGACUGCUCUGAUACCAUAUCAGAUCUUGUGAAAAUACUGGUUUAUUAUUUCUUGUUCUCGUAUAACAGCAGAGGGUUAUAUAUAUACAAAGCCUAGAAAGCUAUUUUAGAAAUAUUACUACGGGCCUAUAAUCCUGCAGAAUUAGAUACAAUGAAUCAAACUAAUUAGGAAUACACAGCUCAUUGACACUUUUCAACCGGGUUUUUUGGAAGUUGAUAGUCAGGCACAUCAUUUUGCCCACAAGGAUCACCCAUUGAUUUUGAAUGAAGAGCAAGAAUAUCAUGGUGAAGGAGUAAAGUGCUUCGUGUGCACGGAACCAAUGUCUGGUCCUAGCUAUAGUUGCAUUUCUCGCAACUUGUUUCUUCACAAGAAGUGUGCUGAGCUACCCCCGGAGAUCAAGAGGCACAUUCAUCCAGAACACCCUCUUCGUCUACUGCCAAAUCAUGAUACGAUGUGUGAUUUUUGCAACGAAACUUGCUAUGAGAGUUUUGUUUACUGCUGUCUUGUGUGCGAAUUCAACCUCCAUAUCAAAUGUGCUUUUCCACCGUGCGUUUAUGCAGCUGAUCAGGAUCAAAGGCAUCUAUUUAGACGCCUACUGAAUCCACUUUCAUUCAAAUCAAUCUCCUUCACCUGCAAUGCAUGUGGCACAGAUGGAGAUGGCUCCCCUUUCAUGUGCACCUUGUGCCAUCUCGUGGUCCACGAAGAAUGCAUUUCAUUGCACUGCACCAUCAUCCCCAAAUCAUCCACACAUAUCAACUUCAACAAUGCAUCGAAUCUAUAAACAGGUACUGUUGAAUUUGCCUUCGGGAAGUUGACUCAAAUUACGGAGUUUACUAUUGCCCGGACUGUGACUUCGUUGCACACGUGAAUUGUAGUAGAGAAUAUGGGGAUUCUGCAACAGAGAUUGUGGUAGAAAACGAAGAAGAGCAAAGUGUGGCUGUUGAUGAUCAAUCCAUGGAACCUAGCUUUCGCGUUGUCCGUGAGAUCAAGCAUGGAGAAGAGAGAAUAAUUGAAGAGAUCAAACAUUUCAGUCAUCAACAUAACCUAAUCCUUAUUGACAAGGUUGAUGAUGAUCUAAAGUGUGAUGGGUGCAUGUUACCAAUCUCAACUGACAAAACCUGCUUAGAAUUACCAGGCGAAAAAAGUGGCAAUAUCACGAAAACCAACUGAUUCUUUUAUAUAACCUAUGGGAACAUGAUCUGUACAAGUGUAGUGUGUGCAAGCAAUAUUUUCGUGGGCUCAGCUACUGUUGUGUUAUAUGUGGACUCUGGAUUGAUGUCCAAUGCUUCAAAUCAUUGAAAGAUUCUUUUAAACACAGAGGUCAUGAUGAGCAUCCCCUUUAUCUUCCAGCGGGCAGAAAGAGUAUUCUCCAUUGCGAUAUUGGAGGUCGCGGGGCUCCCCCUUGGCUUGCAGAUGACGGAGAGAAUAUUCCCCAUUGCAGUGGCUGUUGUCACCGAAGAAUCAAAGGUAUUUUUUAAAUGUGCGGUUUGCGAUUUCAAGCUGGGUAUAAAAUGUGCUACACUGCCAUACAUAGCAAGACACGAGUAUGAUGACCAUCCUCUCUUCCUCACCUACAUUAAUGAAAAUGACUACCAGCCUUCCUGCUUAAUUUGUGAAAAAGAUAGAGACCCCAAGCUCUGGUUCUACCGUUGUGAGGAAUGCGACUUCGAUGCUCAUCCAGAAUGUGCUCUCGGGAAAUACACAUAUUUCAAGGCAGGGGGGGUUCGAACAUAUCCUAAACACCCUCACCCUCUUGCUUUGGUCGUCAAGACAGAGGAUUAUGCAGCAUGCGAUAUCUGUGGUGAGCCUUGCGAUGACUUGGCCCUUGAAUGUACUGAUCAUAACUGCAGUUUUAUCGUCCACAGGAAAAGAAGGCAAUGCUGGAUGCCAUUAUGGUAAUUGGAUUGCAGUUGUUGGCUUUUUUCUUAUUUUUGGGUUAUGAUUGUUGGCAGUUGCUAGACAGAGGAUUAUUAUCUCUGUUUCUUUUUACGCGUAUGAGAUCGCUUUUUUUUGUCUGAGCAAUGGAUGCUAUUUUAUUAAAAUUGGAAAUGAAAUAUUUUAUUUUAAUAAAAAUAAUUGGUAGUUUGUUGUUUCUUUGAGCCUUCGUAGUGACAAAGAUGCAAGAGCCACCAUUUGUUUUAGCUUAGCAGGAAGCUCUCGAUCCUCUCCAUAAAUUCCGCUUUUACAUAUUGCUUCCUGAAGUUCAGGAAACAACACGGUAUUGGUGACGCGGUCUCUAAUAAUAAAUAAAUGUAUUUAAAUAAUAUUUAAAACAAAUACCUUAGGAGCAUUCGACAGCUUUGUCCUUUAAUAAGAUAUAAUAGUUUUGAUAUCCGUGCAAUGUUGCGGGUCAAUUUUUUAUAUAAAAAAUAAAUAAAAAUUUAAAAAUCUUGGGUUUUUCUGCAAAGUUAUACCCAAGAAUCUUGGGUUUGGCUGCAACGUCUGACCUAAGAGUAAUAUUUAUAAUAUUAAUAAUAAAAUUUAACUUGCAUGACCCAAAUUUAAGUGAGCCUGACUGUAACACCGGACCCAAGAAUAUUGGAUCUGGAUUUGGCUAUAAGGUCGUGUAAUUAAAAUUUUGAUAAUUAAAUAGAUUAAUUAGAAAAAAGAAAAAAAUCAACAGAAAGGAAAAAACUAAUGAAGAAAAAGAAAAAAAAAUUAAAUUAAUUGGGUUAACCCUUUAAACCAGGUUAUCCCAUAAAACCUGGGAUUUGCGUCAUGAAAGUUUGAUAACUAAAUAGAAAAAAACAAUGACGGGUUUACCCAGAAUUAACCGAGUUAACCCCUCAAACCAAGUUAACCCAUCAAGCUCAGGAUACGUGUCAUGAAAAUCUGAUAAUUAAAUAGAAAGAAAAUUAACUUUAACAAACUAAACUAAAUGAAAAAAAUAAUUCGUCAAAUCAGGUUAACCCAUCAAACCCGAGAUUCGUAUCAUAAAAAUAUGAUAACGAAAUAAAAAAAAUUAACAUUAACAAACUAAAUCAAACAAAAAAAAUUAUUUAAAAAAAAUUAAAAAGAAAAAACAAAAGAAAAAAACAGUCAUAUAAUAUAAUACAAUAUAAUAAUAAUUAUAAUGAAAAAACGUAAGGAAAGCUAAAGCUUAAUUCUGAAUCAACUCAAUAUUAAAAAAUAAAUUUAAUAAAGAUAAUUUAAAAAAUAAACAUGUGGAGGAAACACUGCAGCCAAACAAAAAUCAUGUAAGGGAAACACUGUAGUAAUCCACAGUGUUUUUUUUUUUAAAAAAAAGCUACAAAGCCAAGUUCUCAACCAACUUAAUAUAUAUAAAAAACCGAGAUCCGUGUAAUAAAAGUAUGAUAACUGAAUUAAUUUUUUUUUUUCACAUUAACAAACUAAAUUGAACAAAAAAAAUUCAUUAAAAGAAAAAAAAACACAAAGAAAAAAGCAAAAAAAAAAACCCAUGGGCAAAGUUGCUACAGUGAAAAACCCACGCGUUUAAAAAAAAAAAUCUACUAUAGUGAAAAACCCAUGUGUUAAAAAAAAACAUGUACAAAAAAAUAAAAAGAAAAAAAAAGCUGCUAUAGUUAAAAAACAUUUUUAAAAAAAGAAAAACUGCUACAGAAAAAAAAAACUAAAAACGAAAAAAAAAAGCCACGGAAGAAAAAACUGCAAAAAAAAACUUUAGCUACAGUGAAAAAGCUAUGCAUUUUAGAGUUCUUAUUAACCUUUCAAACCAGGAUAACCCUUCAAACAUUAGAUUCGCGUUAUGAAAGUUUAAUAACUAAAUAGAAAAAAAAAUUAACAGAUUAACCCAUAAUUAACUGGGUUAACCUGUCAAGCUUGGAAUACGUGUCAUGAAAGUCUGAUAAUUAAAUUGAAAGAAAUUUAACAUUAACAAACUAAACUAAAUGAAAAAAUUAAUUAAAAAAAAAUAUCUAGUUAACUCUAAUAUAAAAUACUUACGCCUAUAGAUUUUUAACGUUUAGGUACCUCUAAUGUAAAAUACUUACACCCAUAGGCAAAUGAGUAAUAUAGGAAGUUGAGGAAACCCAGCAAAAGUCAACGAGUCUUCUUCUCCAAGAAAAGAGGGGAAAGUGUCUUCUUAUGCACAUACUUGAACAACCUCAUCCGCACAAAUAGAGGAGCCUGUAGCUUUCCUCGUGAUCUUCUACCCACCUCUUCCUUACGGGUAACACGCUUCCUUCCUUUUCGGGUUUCUUUGAAUCUUGGGUCCUUUGAGUUAUUUUUCGUUUCGGCUCUGUGUUCCAUAAUCUUUGAUAAAGGGGAAGAGGGAAGAAAAAUGCUUCCCCAGCAAUUUACAAAGUUCCCAUCUUUAUGGUAAUUCACUGUGUUCUGUGAUCUCAAUUGUUGAUCAGUACUGUAGCAGUAAGCAGCUGAAUUUAUUUAAUUAGCCGUCGGAGAAGAGGUCAAUUUUCAGGUUAGAAGGUGAGGAGUUGAAUACUAGGAGGAGAAGAUAAUAUGGAGUUCAAAACUUAAUAUAUAGUCCAAGACUAUUAGGGCACGCCCUGUCAGUCUUUCAGUAAUAAUUAUCGUUGAAUGACUGUCCUCCUCAGUUUAGAACACCAAGUUAUCUCCAUGUAUCUAUCUCUCUUUGUUUCUUGAUGAAAUUCGGUAGACUUGCAGGAUGGUGCUUCCGCGAUGUAUAUGUCGUUGGUUUUCCAUAUCUUUUGCACUAGGAAAGCCAUAUAUGGGCUAGGGUUAGGUAUAGAGCCAUGACUAAAUGUUCUGAGGCUGUAAACACUUGAAAAUAACAUCUGCAAUAUAGUACACCCUUGGGCAUGUGGGAUUUGUUUUUGGUCUAGGGACUUUGAACAUUAUUGGAGGCACAAAUUUAAUACAUGAUGUGUACCUCUGAAGCAGAAUCUUUAUCUUUGAUUAUGAUCUAUAAAGUAAGAGUUGUCAAUUGCUCUCUUGCACGCAUGCAACCGUCAAUGGUCCCAGAUUGAAUAACACAUGUAACAGUCAAUGCUUCAAGGAUGAUGAUAUCUAAAGGCAAGCGAUCUCCGUGUUCUGUUCUUUGUGGAGUCAGAUUGAACACAAGAUUGCCAUCCGAGACUUCAUUUUCAAUCUGUUUCGUGAACUGUAAAUGCUUGAUGAAUGAUUGAAAUCAUGCUUGAACUUGACAACUCCAUUGUUUAGUCACUUUCCAGAUCAUGCAUCUAGAGAUUGUUAUGUUUUUCCUGCUUACUGCUUUCUCUGAGUCCUAACAGUAAUCGAACUGAGUCAACUCCUCCUCCUUGCACAGACUGUGUUAGCCGGUUGACUAACUGAGGCAGUAUCUGGAUUGCAGGAGUUUUCAUACAAUUAAUUAGAUUUUUAAUUUCUUGUGAUAUAUAGUAUGGCGUACUAAACAUGUUAUUCACUAUUGAUGUGUAUUUGGAAUUGAAAAAGGGUUAGUGAUUUCUAAUUGUUCAUCCUUAUGCAGGAGAUAGAACUGUAGUAGCUUUCAUGUAAUCAUGAUCUUUCUUUUAAUAGUUUAUUUACAUAAUAUAUUAUGGUGAUAUAUAGUUAAAUUUUAAUUAUUUUAAAAAACAAGGAUUUACUUUAAAAAACACAAUCUAUCACACUCUAAAAAAUACCUGUGGUAAACUUAGAGUAUGGUAUUGUUGUUAUUGCUAUUUCAAAAAUUUAAGAUUUAAAGGAUCACCAUCUUGUAUGCUAAUUAUUUGUGAUGAGACGAUUAGAUAAUAAAAUGCCAAAACUGAAUAAGGGAAGGAACGAAAAAACAAAAAACCCCAUCCAAUAGACUAGCAUCAUUUUCGUUUUAGUAUUUUUCAAGGCUAAAAUAGACUAUAUGGCCUGUUUGUUUUUCGUGGUUGUCGUUGUCAUCAACAAUAAUAAUUAUUAAUAUUAACAAAAAAAAGUUAAAAGAGAUUUUCAAGGCUAAAAUAGACUAUAUGGCCUGUUUUUUUUUUGUUUUUAAAUUAAAUUAUAUUUUUAGUCAUCUCUCACAUAGGUCAAGUCUAAGGCCCCUUCAAUGUUUUUAGGCCGAUGAUUGGUUUGCUUGAUAAUGCUAAGCCCAAUUGUAAUUAUUUUGGCCCAUUUCUUGUUCAUGAAUCCGUUGUUCAUGUCUUGAGGCCCAUCUCAAAUUCGAGCAGAGAACCACACUGAUAUUAUUCCCUUUCACAUAUGCUUAUCUACAUAAUAAAUCCACUCGACGUCCUUUGAUCUUCAUCCUGCUACCAGCAAAAUAAUUGUAUUUUUACACCCCUCUUGUCAACUGAUCAUUUAUGAUAUUUGAAAAUUAUGUUUUUUACAUUAAAAAUAGUGUGGGGCAGUAACAUAUAGUUUUGUUAAACAAAAACUAUAAUAUAUUUUUUUAAAAAAAAGAGGUGGAUGAUAGGUCAUCCAACCCCUUAAAAAUAUGAGUGUAUUUUUAGAGAGUUAGUUCUCAAUUUCUUAUUGUCUUGAAAUAAACUUGAAAUACUAUUUUUUUAUUUCAUUAAUAACUUAUUAUAUGGACAUGAUCCGUUAACUAAGCAAUGGACCAAUCCAAUAGAAUACUAAGUAAUGGACCAAUCCAGUAAUAAAAAGUUGAGGAGACCCAGCUCAAGUCAACGAGUCUUCUACUCCAACCAGAAAAGAAAGGGGAAAGUGUCUUCUUAUUCACAUGCUUAUCUAAUAUCAUCUGCACAAAUAGAAGUAACUUUCCUUGUGAUCUUCUUCCCACCUCCUCCUUACAGAUAACACCCUCCCUUCCUUUUCGGGCUUCUUUGAAUUUUGGUAUCCGAUCUUAAUGGGAAAUCACUGUGUUCUGGAUCUCGUUGGUUGAUCUGUAAUGUAGCAAUAAGCAGCUGUAAUUAUUUAAUUAGCCGUCGUCGGUGAAGAGGUCAAGUUUCAGUUCAGAUGGUGAGGUAUUGAAUUCUAGUAGCACUCAACUUUUAUUUGCCUCUUCAAUUUGGCCUCCCUAAGUCUUGCCUUGGCUCAACACCCCUCAUUUCCUGCUCUGUCCGCUGAGAGAGCCAGAGACAUGGAGGUUGAACAUUUUAGCCACCCAGAUCAUCCAUUGAUCCUCAUUAAUCAAGUUCUCGAAUAUAGUUGCAAACUAGUUAUUUGCUCUGGAUGCGAGGGACCAAUAUGGGGUCCUUGCUACAGUUGCACCUCUUGCUACUUCUUUCUUCAUAAGACAUGCGCCGAGCUGCCCCGUGAGAUCAAGCGGCGCAUUCAUCCUAGACACCCUCUCCAUCUACUGGCAAAGUCACCAUAUAAAGGAAAAUACCGUUGUAAUCGGUGCGACAAAACUUUCAACUGUUUUGUUUACCAUUGUUCUUUCUGUCAGUUUGAUCUUGAUAUCAAAUGUGCUUUUCCACCGGGUUUUUUGGAGGUUGAUAGUCAAUUUGCCCACAAGGAUCAUCCAUUGAUUUUGAAUGAAGAGCAAGAAUAUCAUGGUGAAGGAGUUACGUGCUCUGUGUGCAAGGAACCAAUGUCGGGUCCUAGCUAUAGUUGCACUCCUUGCAACUUCUUUCUUCACAAGAAGUGUGCUGAGCUACCCCCAGAGAUCAAGCGGCACAUUCAUCCAGAACAACCUCUUCGUCUACUGCCAAAUCAUGAUACGAUGUGUGAUUUUUGCAACGAAACUUGCUAUGAGAGUUUUGUUUACUGCUGUUUUGUUUGUGAAUUCACCCUCCAUAUCAAAUGUGCUUUUCCACCGUGCAUUGAUGCAGCUGAUCAGAAUCAAAGGCAUCAAUUUAGACGCCUAAUGAAUCCACUUUCAUUAAAAUCAAUCUCCUUCACUUGCAAUGCAUGUGGCACAGAUGGUGAUGACUCCCCAUUUGGAUGCACUAUGUGCCAACUCGUGGUCCACAGAAAAUGCAUUUCAUUGCCACGCACCCUUAAAACGGUACUGCACCAUCAUCCCCAAAUCAUCCACACCUAUCAUCCUCAACAAUGUAUCAAAUCUAUAAACAAGUACUGUGGAAUUUGCCGUCGGGAAGUUGAUACAGAAUACGGAGUUUACUAUUGCCCAGACUGUGACUUUGUUGCACACGUGAAUUGUAGCAGAGAAUAUGGCGAUUCUGCAUCAGAGACUGCAGGACAAAGUGUGACUGUUGAUGAUCAAUUCAUGGAACCUAGCUUUUGCGUUGUCCGUGAGAUCAAGCAUGGAGAGGAGAGAAUAAUUGAAGAGAUCGAGCAUUUCAGUCAUCAACAUAACCUAAUCCUUACUGACAAGGUUGAUGAUGAUCUAAAGUGUGAUGGGUGUAUGUUACCAAUCUCAACUCCAUUUUAUAGUUGUGUCAGUUGUAAUUUCUUUCUUGACAAAACCUGCAGUAUAGAAUUACCCAGGCGAAAAAAAUGGCAAUAUCACGAAAACCAAUUGAUUCUUUCAUGGAACCAAGGGGAACAUGAUCUGUACAAGUGUAGAGUGUGUAAUCAAGAUUUUCGUGGGCUCAGGUACGUAUGUGAUGUAUGUGGACUCUGCUUUGAUGUCCGAUGCUUCAAAUCAAUAUUGAAAGAUUCUUUUAAACAUGGAGGUCAUGAGCAUCCCCUUUAUCUUCCAGCGGACAGAAAGAGUAUUCUCCGUUGCAAUAUUGGGCGUCCCCCUUUGCUUGCAGAUGACGGAGAGAAUAUUCCGCAUUGCAGUGGCUGUUGUGUCAGUGAAGAAUCAAAGGUAUUUUUAAAAUGUGCGCGUUGCGAUUUCAAGCUGGGUAUGAAAUGUGCUACACUGCCAUACAAAGCAAGACACGAGUAUGAUGACCAUCCUCUCUUCCUCACCUACAUUAAUGAAAAUGACUACCAGCCUUCCUGCUUAAUUUGUGAAAAAGAUAGAGACCCGAAGCUCUGGUUCUACCGAUGUGAGGAAUGCGACUUCGAUGCUCAUCCUGAAUGUGCUCUCGGGAGAUACCCAUAUGUCAAGCCAGGGGAGGUUCACAAAUAUCGUAAACACCCUCACCCUCUUGCUUUGGUCGACAAGACAGAGGAUUAUCGUCCACAGGCAUGCGAUACUUGUGGUGAGCCUUGCGAUGACUUGGCCCUUGAAUGUACUGAUCCUAACUGCAGUUUUAUCGUCCACAGGAAAAGAAGGCAAUGCCGGGUAUCAUUAUGGUAAUUGGAUUGCAGUUGUUGGCUUUUUUCUUAUUUUUGGGUUAUGAUUGUUGAGGUGAAUGGUUAGCUUCAUACUUAUUAUCUUUGUUUCUAUUUUCGCAUUUCAGAUCACUUUUUUUCUCUUUUUUUCUGAACAAUAAAAGAUGCUAUUUCAUUAAAACUGUCAAUGUAUUUUGUUGUUUCUUUGUGCCUUUGUAAGUGACGAAGAUGCAUGACCUUCCACCAUUUUUUUUAGCUUAGCAGGAAGCUCUCCAUAAAUUCUGCUUUUACAUUUUUGUUAUAGAUUUUAUUGUAAAUGCAUAGAAAUAUUGUCAUAUAAAAUAACACUUAUCUAACCGAUAUCAAUUAUUUUCAUUCAAAUAUUUAAUUUUUAUUUCCUUAACACAAUCUAAUAAUAAAUAAAUAUAUUUAAAUAAUAUUUAAAACGCAUACCUAAAAGGCAUUAAAUAGCUUUGUCCUUUAAUAAGAUAUAUCAUGAAAAAAUAAGUUAAUUCAUGUUUUUGGUAUUUUUCUUCUUAAGUAAGAAUAAGAAUAAGCCUCCAUCUUUGUUUAUCUAAUUUCAAAACCACGAAGGGAUUUAGAGGCCCAAAUCCUAAAAAAAAAAAAAAAAACUAAAUAGGAAAAAAAAUAUAAAUCAACUAAUAAAAUAUCACAAGUCUAGAUAAUUUUUUUGGUUUUAUUUGAAAGUCUUGUUGAUUUUAAAUGAUUACAAAAUUCUAAUUUUAUAGAAAAUAAAGCUUUUAAAAUCUUCCAAUAAAAUUUUAGUUCGAUUAAGAUAAAAAAAAAAAAAAUUAUGCCCUUUACAAGAUUGCUUAUUUUUAAAAAUAUAUCAUAUAUCAAUCUUGUCUCGAAUUCAAAUUGUUGUUGCUUCAAUUUUGUAAGUAUCAAAUUAAAAAUCUCUAACCUUUUGCACGUGCUAGCAACAUAUUCCCAGCCUUCUCGGUAUUAAGAGUUCUUAUGGCAGCUUAUGGAAACUUUAUUGUCAUCAUCAAGGUUGUCAAUUUCGUUCCGUUCCGUCCGAAAUGGCCGAAACAUUCCAUACCAAUUUAAAAAACGAAACAAAACGAAACAAAUUCCAUCUCAUUUUAAAUCUCGGCCCGUUCCGGAAAUUCCGGCCGAAACGUUCCGGUUUCAUUCCGGUUGUUCCGUUUCGGCCAAAAAAUAUUAUUUUUAAAAAAUUAAUAUAUGGUUUAUAUUAUUUUAAGUUAAAGAUCUAUUUAAUCUUUACUAUUUAAAAAUAUUUUAAAUUUUAAAAUUAUAUUUGUUUGGCAUUAUGUUUGUAUUGCAUAAUUUAUAAUUAAUUUAUCUUGAAUUUGAAUUAUGUUUGUGGAAUAUAUAUAUAUAUAUAUAUAUAUAUAUAUAUAUAUAUAUAUAUAUAUAUAUAUGAACAGUACAACCCCGAAACGGCAUGCCGAAACACUCCGAAACCGAAACAUUUCGUUCCAAUUGAAAAAACAAAACACCUAUCGAAACGGAAUUGACAACCUUGGUCAUCAUACAACUUCGUUAGCAUAUUCAUAGGCAUUCACAGUUCUUCAAGAAUUCUCUUCAACCAUAACAUUUCACAAACUCCAUUUCCAUAACCUUAUAUUCUACUUAAGCGCUGCUUCUUACAAUCACAUUUUGUUUCUCUUCAGCUUUAUUUUGCCAAGUAACCAUAUUUCCCCAGAUUUAAGUAUAAUAUUCUAAUGUGCAUCUUCUAUCAAUGACUAAACCUGCCCAAUCUGUAUCAGUAUCAAGAUGUUUUGCAUGGGGUGAGUGUAACAAUCCCAAUAUUUGUAUUCAAAACAAAGAGGAAGGACAUGAUAAUUCAAUUAAGGUUAGGGAUUUUUAUUCUUUUUUGUAAUUAAUAAAAAUUUCAGUAGAAUUUCCUCUAUGUUUUUAGAUAUCAAGAUAUCGAUUCUUUUUCCGCAAUCCCCGUAAUCAAAUUUUUUACUCGUCUUAUCAUCCAGGACUGAUUGUGUAAACUAUUUUGUGUAAAGAUAGGUACAGUGAGCGCAUAAACCAACUUACUAAACUCACAAUAAAUGUAAUAUUAGAUCAUGUUUGUGAUAAGUAAAUCAGCUCUCCCACUAACUUUUGAUACUGUGUUGUCUUUGUUAAACUAAUUUAGAUCAAACAAAAAAAGGAGGUUAGAAUUCUGAAUAAACUGUAUAUUAUGAAUGCAUAGUCUUAACCUAAUUACAAAUAAAGUAUAUAUAGGUUAAACUGAAAGUACUAUUCUACCCUUAAUAAAUAAGACAACAUAAAUAUUAUUUAACAUCUCCCCUCAAACUCACGAUGCGGCAGCUACAAGCAUCGAGAGUUUGCCAACUAGAAAACGAAAACGAGAUAUGGAAUGCGCCUUGGUAAAGAAAUCUGCAAUUUGCAAUGAAGAAGGAACAAAAGGCAAAGUAAUGGUUCCAUGCUUGAGAUGAUGACGAGUAAGAUGACAAUCGAUUUCAAUGUGCUUAGUCCGCUCAUGAAAAACCGAGUUGUGAGCAAUCUGAAUAGAACUCUGGUUGUCACAAUACAUAGGAGUAGGAUGGGAAAAGGAAACUCUCAUAUCAGCAAGUAACCAACGUAACCAAAUAAUCUCUUUGGUAGUAGAUGCCAUGGCACGAUAUUCUGCUUCGGUGGAUGAUUGAGAAACAAUAGAUUGUUUCUUGCUCUUCCAAGAAAUAAGAGAAUCACCUAAAAAGAUACAAAACCCGGUAACAGACUUGCGAUCUGUGGGAUCACUACCAUGAUCAGCAUCAGAGUAUGCAUGCAACUCCAAGGAAGAGGUGGAUGAAAGUAAAAGACUUUGAAAAACUGUACCCCGAAGAUAUCGCAAAAUACGAAGAACAGCUGCCCAAUGAACAGUAGUAGGAGAAGCAACAAACUGACUAACAACAUGAACAACAUAUGCAAUAUCUGGACGAGUAAUGGUGAGAUAUACCAAACUCCCAACAAUAGUGCGGUAUAAAGUAGGAUCUAUCAAAGGUAAACCAUCAGAAAAAGAAUACCUUGUGUUAACCUCAAUAGGAGUAUCCACAGUCUUUAUCUUCCAGCGGACAGAAAGAAUAUUCUCCGUUGCCGUAUUGGGGGUGAGGGGUUUCCCCCUUUGCUUGCAUCGGACGGAGAGAAUAUUCCGCAUUGCAGUGGCUGUUGUGUCAGUGAAGAAUCAAAGGUAUUUUUGAAAUGUGCGGUUUGCGAUUUCAAGCUGGGUAUGAAAUGUGCUACACUGCCAUACAAAGCAAGACACGAGUAUGAUGACCAUCCUCUCUUCCUCACCUACAUUAAUGAAAAUGACUACCAGCCUUCCUGCAUAAUCUGUGAAAAGGAUAGAGACCCGAAGCUCUGGUUCUACCGUUGUGAGGAAUGCGACUUCGAUGCUCAUCCAGAAUGUGCUCUUGGGAAAUACCCAUACGUCAAGCUAGGGGUGGUUAUAACAUAUCCUAAACACCCUCACCCUCUUGCUUUGGUCGACAAGACAGAGGAUUAUCGUCCACAGGCAUGCGAUAUUUGUGGUGAACCUUGUGAUGGCUUAGCCGUUGAAUGUACUGAUCCUAACUGCAAUUUUAUCGCCCACAGGGAAAGAUGGAAAUGCUUUGACUCAUUACUAUAAUUGGAUUGCAUUUGUUGGCUUUUUUUCUUAUUCUUGGGUUAUGAUUGUUGGGGUGAAUGGUUAGCUUCAUACUUAUUAUCUCUGUUUCUAUUUUCGCUUAUCAGAUCACUUUUUUUUCUCUUUUUUUUACUGAACAAUAAAAGAUGCUAUUUCAUUAAAACUGUCAAUGUAGUUUGUUGUUUCUUUGUGCCUUCGUAAGUGACGAAGAUGUCUGACCUUCCACCAUUUUUUUCGCUUAGCAGGAAGCUCUCCAUAAAUUCUGCUUUUACAUUUUUGUUAUAGAUUUUAUUGUAAAUGCAUAAAAAUAUUUUCAUAAAAAAUAACACUUAUCUAAAUGAUAUCAAUUAUUUUCAUUCAAAUAUUUAAUUUUUAUUUCCUUAACACAAUCUAAUAAUAAAUAAAUGUAUUUAAAUAAUAUUUAAAACGAAGAUCUCAAGGGCAUUCCAUAGCUUUGUCCUUUAAUAAGAUAUCUCAUGAAAAAGUAAGUUAAUUUAUGUUUUUGGUAUUUUUCUUCUUAAGAAGAAUAAGAAUAAGAAUAAGAAUAAGCCUAUGUUUAUCUAAUUUCAAAACCACGAAGGGAUUUAGAGGCUCAAAUCCUAAAAAAAAAAAAAAAACUAAAUAGAAAAAAAAUUAUAAAUCAACUAAUAAAAUAUUAAGUCUAGAUAUUUUUUUUGUUUUAUUUGAAAGUCUUGUUGAUUUUAAAUGAUUACAAAAUUCUAAUUUUAUAGAAAAUAAAGCUUUUAAAAUUUUCUAAUAAAAUUUGAGUUGGAUUAAGAUAAAAAUAAAAAAAUUAUGCCCUUUACAAGAUUGCUUAUAUUUUAAAAAAUAUCAUAUAUUAAUCUUGUCUCGAAUUCAAAUUGUUGUUGCUUCAAUUUCGCAAGUAUCAAAUUAAAAAUCUCAAACCUUUUGCACGUGCGGGCAACAUUCCCAGCCUUCUUGGUAUUAAGAGUUCUUAUGGCAGCUUAUGACAGCUUUAUUGUCAUAAUACAACUUCGUUGGCAUAUUCAUCGGCAUUCACAGUUCUUCAAGAAUUCUCUUCAGCCAUAACAUUUCACAAACUCCAUUUUCAUAACCUUAUAUUCUACUUGAGCACUGCUUCUUCCAACCAUAUUUUGUUUCUUACUUUGCCAUGUAACCAUAGAUUUAAGUACAAUAUUCUAAUGUGGAUCUUCUAUCAAUGACUAAACCUGCCCAUUCUACAUCAGCUUCAAGAUGUUUUGCAUGGGGUGAAUGCAAACCCAGCAUUUGUAUUCCAAACAAAAAGCAAUAACAUGAUAAUUCAAUUAAGGUUAGGAAUUUUUUUUAAUAUAAUUAAUAAAAAUUUCAGCAGAGUUUUUUUAUAUUUUUAGAUAUCAAGAUAUUAACUUUUCUUCUAUAAUCCUCAAUAAUCAAAUUUUUUACUCGUUUUAUAAUUCAGGAUUGAUUGUGUAAAGAUAGAUAUAGUGAUCACAUAAAAUAUCUUACUAAACUCACAAUAAAUGUAAUAUUAGAUCAUGUUUGUGAUAAGUAAAUCAGCUCUCCCACUAACUUUUGAUACUGUGUUGUAUUCACACUAGAUCACCUUCCUUGUCAUCUUCAAGUUUCUGAUUGGGAUCUAUUGGAGUGUCUGCUAGCCUACAACCACUCAUCCCAGUCUCCUUAAGAACAUCAAGGACACACUGCUGCUGUUGGGAUAUAACGAUCCCCUUCUUCGACAGAACAAUCUCUAAUCCAAGAAAAUCCUUAAUCUCUAUUUCAAUGGCAUAUGGGUGAUUAUUAGAUUGAAAGGUUUUCCUUCUUUGAGAGCACCUUUUUUAAAGUGAAAUAAACACAACUUUCAGUUUAUACGUUGCUUGUAAGAAUAGCACAUAUGAGUAUGAUUUUGAGAUUUGAAAGAACUCCUUGUUUAAGAGGAAAUUGGACUUUGUCAUGUGAAAUGAACACCUUUUUAAUUUAUACCCUGCAGAAAAUGCAGAGGAUUUUAUACUGUGUUUAUUUAAAGUUGAUUGUCAGGCACAUCAACUUGCCCACACAGAUCAUCCAUUGAUUAAGAACGAAGAGCAAGAAUAUCAUGGUGAAGGAGUUAUGUGCUCUGUGCGUGAGGAGGCACUUGCACCCUCUUCACCUGCUGGCAAAGCCACCAUCUCAUUGCUCAAGAUGCGUUUGUGACAAGAGUUUUGUUCGCCAUUGUUGUUUCUGGGAAUUUGACGAUAUCAAAUGUGCUCUUCCACCGUGCAUUUUUGAACAUGAAGGUCAGGAACAUCUAAUUAUUUGUCUAGCAAAGUAGCUUCAGUUGAAGAUUGCCUGUCUCACUUGCAAAGCAUGUGGCACUGAUUUGUUGAAGAUUAUUACCAGCAGACGUCACAUCUGUUGCAUUUCUUCAUUCAGCUAACCCAGUCUCACAAAAUUUUCCCUGUGUUUAGAAAGUUUCACCAAAACAAUAAAGCUAAAAAUGUCAUUACAAUUUCCUAGUAGAUAUUCAACUUUGCUAUGAGUUUUCAAAACAUGAUAAAAAGAUUUCUAUUUUUUUAUUCUGUUCAAGCAACAUUGACAUGGCAAUAAGCUAGCAUUGCACUGUUAUGGAUCAUGGCGAUUUGAUUUGUUUUUCAAUUUACAAUUUAGUCAAAUUCAAAGAAAACUUACACACAAAAAAGGAAAUAACCUGUUCAAAAUCUAAUUAGAAAUAAACUUCAUUUUGAUAUAUGGAAACUGAUUAUAAUGAUAACAUGACCAUUGAAACCUAAAAACAUAAAUUUGUUAAUUAAGAAAUGCUAGGAAAACUUUUUUUUUUUUUACUAAUAUUUGUUUAUCAAUAGAAAUAAAAGGCAUCUAAAGUUUUUGCCGUUUACAAAAUUUUACAACACAUUGAGCCAUGAAAGUUGCCUGUUUUGGAAUGAGUCUAGAGAGGUCUUUGAAAUUGCAGUGAGACCUGAUUUAAAAAAAAAAACUUUAAUUUUAAAUUUAAUUUUUUAUAUUUUUAUAUACAUAUUGUAUCGGUAUUAUAAAUAAAUUUUAAAAAAUAUAUAAUAAAAAUUUUAAUCCAUUCAAAAAUAAUAAUAAUAAUAAUUACCACUAUCUUAUACCACAUCCACAUAGCAUCGGUUUUGCUUUGAAAACAACUUGGCGACUGAAUGGUGGUCUAGUUAAACGUAUUUUUCUAAUCAGUAAUUUUUCUUUUAAAAUCAAGACGGUUGGCAUGUACUUGUGCUUCGUUAUCUUAUUUAAUUUUUUAUUCUAUAGUAAAAGGUAUUUUUUUUAUUAGUUUAUAUGUCAAUCAUGAUUGAGUUUUUUAUUCAAAUGAUUUUAAGGAUAAACAAUUUAAAGUUAUGAAUCAUCGAACAAUCCAUUUAAAGUUAUAUAAUUAUGUUGUGAUGUAUCUUAAAUCAAAUAAAAAUUAUACUAGAUUAUUAACAUUUUUUAAUAAAUAUAAAAGAAAUAUUCAAACAUUACUAAUAUUUUUUAAAACAAAAAAAAAUUUAAAUAAUGUGAGGGUUAAUUUGAUAUAAUUUGGUUGAUUUUACAAGUUUACAAGUAAUCUAUAUAACCCGAAAAAACAUAAUUUGAUUAAAAAAAAUUUAAGAUGAUAUAUUUUUUUAAUAUUAAGAUAAAAAUAUAUUAAAUUAUUUUAUUAAAUUAAAUCUAAAAAAAGUGAGUUUUUUUAACAGAAGCAAGAAAAACAUUUUUUUGUAAUGAUUUAUGUGCACAUUAAAAUGUGUUUUAUAUACUUGAUUUGGUUCUUGAUCUAUAGUAAUGAACCGGCUUUAUUUAAAAAUUUCUCAAAAAAUAAAAUUGCGUUGAACAAAUUAAUAAAACUACGCUAUCUCUUCUUUUUUUAUAUAUAUUAAAUGAUUGGCUAAAGAUGAAAUAAAUAAUUUUAUAUUAUUUGUUUGUACGUAUUACUUUUAAGCGUAGACUCUUUUAUUUGGUGAUAUAUAUACGACUAACUUAAUUUGUUUUUCCUCGUGCACAUAUCGACAACCUUUUUCAAAUACCAAGAACAUGUCACUUCAAAGAAAUUUCCUGGUUGAUAAUGAACAGACAUAAGCAGUGCGUAAUAAUUUGACUGAAAAUAAAUGACAGCAGGGCAGGUUAAUUAGAUAUAGUGUACUAAUCAUUAAUUAAAUUUAUUUUAAUCAUUGACUACAUAUCUUAAGUAUUAACUGAACAUAUAAUUUCUUUUAAAAAAUAUCAAAAACAUUAAACUGGACUCAUUCUUCCUAGAUAUUGGGCAGGUUAAUUAGAUAUAGUGUACCAACUAUUAAUUAAAUUUAUUUAAAUCAUUGACUACAAAUUCUAAGUAAUACCUGAUCAAAUAUUUUUUUUUUUUUUUAAAAAAAGAAUCAUAAACAUUAAACUGGACUCAUUCUUCCUAGAGUCAGAAAAAAAAAAGUACACAUAUAAACAGAAUUAGAUUUGAAGAUGACGAGAGAGCAACCUCUUAACCACGAGAAUAAUUGAUUAAGGAAAGGAACAAUGAAGAGAACUUCGGAAUCAAAUAUAAUUAGAAUCAAAUAUUUUUAUAAACUCAAUUCUAUAUUGGAAACCAAUAUUAUUCCUUGAUUUAAAUUCAUGCAUGCCUCCUUUUGUUCUUCAAAGUAAAUAACACAGAAACCUCAAACCUGGUAUUCUCUCAACAUGUACAUCACUAUGCUGUCAUCCUAUACAUAUGUCAUAAAGGUUAAUUCCAAUAAUUAAAAGGUUGUGAAAUUGGUGCAAAACCCUACCUCUAAUGUUUUUUUAUUUCCUUGAAGGGGAAAAAAGGUUGAAUGCGAUUUUCUCUCUUAUAAUGCAUUAAUUCUUCCUCCACACAUGUCAUGGCCAUGGAAAAAUUAAUUUGGAAAAGUUGGUUUUUCAGAUUUGACUGUUCCUCCUUGGAGAAUAUGGACGCAAAAUCCAAUUUGUUUUUGGAUAAAUGCUUCCCUUUUCAACCAUGCAAAUAGCAAAAGUACAUGGUCUUUUAGGUUCGGCGUGAUAGUUACUUGGUCAAACCGAGGAAUAUAUGGGCUCAUUCUUAUGAGAAAGAUAAAGUAGAAAAGAUAUGCUCCUUUUCAGCUUCUCAGAAAUUAAACAUGCACUGAAAGGGUAACCAUGACAACUGACCAAUCCGCCUGCAAGGAAACCGCUCCAAUCUUCCCCAUGUGAGAAUUUCUUCUGCAGAGUUCAAAGUAUUCAUUUCUGCAGUGAAUUCAUGAUCAGAGCAGAGUUUUUCUUGGUGAACGUACAAGUCAGCUGUGCCUUUUUUUCUCUGGAGGAAAUUGAUGAAUAUUAGCCCAAUGAUGCCCGUACCAAUGAAGUUUCCUUGAUAUUUGAUACCCUCAAGGCCAGACGAACACUGCAAGCACACUAAAGUACAAGAACAAAUUGCAGUAAGAAAAACAAAGUAGAUUCUAUUAUCAUUUUCAUUGACUAUGGAUUUAGCUAUGGAAGUUUCAAUGGAUGACUAACUUGCGUGGAUCGAUGGUUAUUGAAUAUGAUCAAGAGGCGUGAGCAAGAUAUACAGCUAAUUAGACUUGUUCUUCAUGGAAUUUGCAAGAUCUCAUAAAUUUUGUUUAAUUUAAUAGCAAAGGAAAAUCUGCAGGAGGAUCAGAAGUGGGACUGCAAGACACGACGAUUAUAUGUAGACAAAUAUGCUCAUCAAAUCCAAUACAUACAAGCGUAAUUAAGCAGAGUACUAUUGUAUAGAUUUGAUGACAACUGCGUAAUAUUGGUCAACCAAAUAUUAUUCAGAUUGAUAUUAACUUCCCUGUUGUGAUAUCUACUAUUCUACAGUUCUAAGUUUUCCAAGAGAAAAAAUAUAAGAUCAGAAAAUACAAGGAAAUUUACUCCCUUAUAGAAGUCCUAACAUUUUUUUCUAAUUUAAGCUGACAUGAACCUGUCUUUUGUAUAUCCUCCACUUCUCAUUCAUUUGGCUUCAAACUUGCCAGAAAGUUGCACAAAAUUAACUACAGUUCUAACUUCUCAUUCUUUGGAGAGUUACUUUUGGCGAGAUGCGCUUUCCCUUGGUAGCCCCAUCCGUAAUUCUAGCUGUCCUCUGGGCUCUUGCUCUAGUACAGAGCCUUGAUUUUCAGUUUCCAAACUUCACGGAUUUAGAUAGAAAUCGACUUUUUUUGAGUACCAAUUCUAAUAUAGCCUCGAGAGCCAUCCAAGUCACACUAGAUAUUAAUGGAGCUCCAAUUUAUAACUUGUCUGGAAGGGUCAUGUACAAAUGGCCAUUCAGACUGUGGAGCAACGGAGGGAAGAAUGCAUCUUUCAAUACAACCUUCGUACUCAAUAUCAAAAACCAGACAGCUUCAAGUGGUGAAGGCUUAGCUUUUAUAUUAACAGCAGAUCCUGAUGUUCCAGUUGGAAGUGAAGGACAAUGGAUGGGAAUCGUAAAUUCCACGUUAAAUGGAUCCAUUGAAGCCAGGACAGUGGCAGUAGAAUUUGACACCAGAAAAAGUCAAUAAAAAACAAAAUACCAAAAACAACCCGAGUUAACUUUGGGUUAAUCCGUUAAGUAUUAUUUUCCGAUCAUGAAAACAAGACACCCUAGUAAAAAAUAAACCAAAAUAAAUUAUGAAGUUUAAUUCCUAAUAAAAGAUAAAAUUAGGGAAUAGGACAAUUAAGAAAAGAAAAAAAACCAAGUCAACCGGGUUAACUUGUCAAUCCCACGACCCAGGUAAUGAGAUUUGGACAAUUCAAUAAAAAAAAUUCAAUAUUAAAAAAUUUGUGACCUGGAUAAUGAGACCGGGAUAAUCUCAAAGAAAAAAAAUAGAAACAAUAACUCUAUUUUAAACCUAGUUAGUUUGUCAAAUCUAGAAUUUUUAUCAUCAUAAGAUAAGGAUAAUACUAAAAAAAAACAAAUAAAAAAGAAUUAUAAAAUUUAUUUUCUAACUGAUCCAUUGAAUGAGAAAAUUUAAAAAUUUAAAAAAACUAUAGAAAAUCUUUGUUUUACUUUCUUAAUACAUUCUACUUUACGAAACAAGGAGAAAGGAAAAAGAAAAAGGAUAAACGAAGAAAUUACUUGGUAGAGAUAACCAAGAAAUAGGUUUAUCAAGGGAAGAACCUAAUUUUUGUUCUAAAUAAACUUCGUGAAGCCACUGUUUCGAAUCACUAUGGCUUGUGAGAGGAUUUGUUGUGUAUUCGCAAAGUGUUUCCUUUUUUUUUUCCUCAUUAAUUUUUUUGGUUACUUUUUUUUUUCAUUUCAAUAUUUACACAUUUAAUUAAUUUAGAAUUGAAUUUCAUGAUAUAUAUAUAUAUAUAUAUAUAUAUAUAUAUAUUUUAUUUUUUUUCUUUUUUCUUUUUCGAGUCUUCAUGGUCUUUUAAAAAAUCAUGGCAUUAACUUUGUUUUUAAUUUUACAAAGAAGAAUUGAUCAGAAGCUUAAACCCCCUCUUGGAUCAAGUGGAGGAAUGCUCAAGUAAAGAUGAAAUAAAGAGAAAAACGAUGUCCUUUGUUCUUCCAUAACUACAUGAUUAUCUUACAAUUGUUUUUUUUUCUGACAGGUAGGGAUAAAUCUCCGUUUAUAAUGGUGAUAAAUAAGAGUGAGUAAUAAAACAUCCAAUACUUUCAGACAUAAGCAUGAUCAAGCAAACAGAUGAAUAAUCAAGAACAUAGUUAAUAAUUCUCCAGGAAAGAACAUCUCAGACCACUUUCAUAAGCACAGAGGUUAUGCAAUGCUUCAAUCUUCAGUGCAAAUUGCAACAAUAUCUCACACCCUACCUGCUCCUAACUUAGUGUAUUAUAUAUGAAGGUUGCAUUUGGCUGGUUUGUAGUGUUUUCUGUUAGAUGAAUUCACAAAUGACAUGUUGGUAGGGUGGAUUGCUCCUUCACUUGCAAUGCAUGCGGCACAGAUGGAGAUGACUCCCCUUUCAUGUGCACCAUGUGCCAAUUCGUGGUCCCCGAAGAAUGCAUUUCAUUGCCACACACCCUUAAAACUGCACUGCACCAUCAUCCCCGAAUCAUCCACACCUAUAAUCCUCAACAGUGCAUCGAAUUUAUAAACAAGUACUGUGGAAUUUGCCGUCGGGAAGUUGACUAGAAUACGGAGUUUACUAUUGCCCAGACUGUGACUUUGUUGCACACGUGAAUUGUAGCAGAGAAUAUGGCGAUUCUGCAACAGAGACUGCAGGACAAACCCAAGAAGGGCAAAGUGUGACUGUUGAUGACCAAUUCAUGGAACCUAGCUUUCGCGUUGUCCGUGAGAUCAACCAUGGAGAGGAAAGAAUAUUCUCCGUUGCAGCAGUGGAAGUCGCGGGUUUCCCCUUUUGGUUGCAGAUGACAGAGAGAUUAUUCCCCCUUGCAGUGGCUGUUGUGUCCCUGAAGAAUCAGAGGUAUUUUUUAAAUGUGUGGUUUGCGAUUUCAAGUUGGGUAUGAAAUGUGCUACACUGCCAUACAAAGCAGGACACGAGUAUGAUGACCAUCCUCUCUUCCUCACCUACAUUAAUGAAAAUGACUACCAACCUUCCUGUAUAAUUUGUGAAGAAGAUAGAGACCCUAAGCUCUGGUUCUACCGUUGUGAGGAAUGCGACUUCGAUGCUCAUCCAGAAUGUGCUCUCGGGAUAUACCCAUAUGUCAAGCGAGGGGUGGUUCUAACAUAUCCUAAACACCCUCACCCUCUUGCUUUGGCAGACAAGAUAGAGGAUUAUCCUAACUGCAGUUUUAUCGUCCACGAGGGAAGAAGAAGCAUUUAUUAAAAAAUCAAAUGAAAAAAAGAAAGAAAGAAAAAAAAGCACUACGAAAAAAAGAAAAAAAAGACACUAAAGUGCUUUGUUUAGAUGCCCCUUUAAAAGAAUACCUUGCCGCAGGUACUUUGCCUUAAUUUUUUCGGAGUUGAUCAAUAGAUAUUACUUCUAACAUUCUCUGAAGAAAAUCUUCGUUUUACUUUCUUAAUACAUUUUACUUUAGGAAAUAAGGAGAAAGGAAAAAUAAAAAGGACAAACGAGAAAUUACUUGGUAGCGAUAACCAAAAAAUAGGUUUAUCAAGGGAAGGACCUAAUUUUCUGUUCUAGAUAAACAUCAUGGAGCCGCUGUUUCGAAUUUUAACUUAUACAAACAAAUCCAAACCACGUAUAAAAUAACAUCACGUAUAAAAAAUUAAUUUAAAUAAAAAAAAUAUUGUUUUAAAAACAUUUUUAAAACAUAAAACAAAUAAGUUGUGAGUUUGAAUUAAAAAUACUUCUAUUUGAUAUGGUCUUUUCAGAAUAUUAUUUUAUUUUUAUUUUUACAAAAAUAAAUCAAUUUUGUUGUGAGAGAAAAAAAAAUCAAGGGGGUCAAAAUUAAAAGUUUAAUGAAAUAAUAGCCUUUUAAAGAAAAAAUAGGUGUCAAAGCCUUUUAAACUUAAAAUUUGAUCCAAUAUUAGUUUUGAUCCCUUCAACUUCGAAAUUAUACUAUUUGAUACAAAAUUUAUCUUAUUUACAUUUUAGUCCUUAAAUUUGAAAAAAAAAGAGUAAAAGUUACUAGAUUACAAUGAAUGAAAAAGAAAGUUAUUGUUAAUCACAUUCUAACAACCAAAAAAAAUUGUUCUUGGUGUCCAUUAGAAUCACUUUGUGUAAGUCAAUUCUAGCUAUUGUUCCUUAUAUCCUAUGCAAUCGAGUUUAUUACCUAAAUCAAUUUGCUUUGAAAUUGAAACAAUUUGCUAGAGGAUUUAUUUGGGGGGACAACAUUGAGGCUAGACGAACUCAUCUUGUUAACUAGAAAACUCUUUGCCAAUCAAAAGAUGAGGGAGGUCUGGGGCUGAGAUGAAUGUAUUUUAUGAACCGAGCUUUCAUAAUUAAUGUCGCACGUCACCCGCGCAGCUUCAGCUUAGCGAUUUUUCUCUUUUGUUGCUUUGAUUCGUUGGGAGUCGCCACCUAGUAUUUAAUUGAGAGCUACUAGGAAACCCGGGUGUACUGAUCUUGUUAGAGAUUCACGAGUAAGGGACUGAUUGUGGUUAGGGAAGAUAUUAGCACCCCUAACACACCCUACUUGAGGUAAGCUGCUUCGUGGCUUUGAUGUGUUAAAGAAGUUUUAAUAAUUAUCUUUUCAUCGGAUAUUAGAAAUACGACUUACGUGUAAGUUCAUAAUUCUUGACCAUGAGCAAAUCAAAGUAUUAAAUUCUUCUUUAUUCUUUGCAAUUUUAUCAUAAAUAAAAAGAAACAUCCAUAAAACAAAUACAAACACACAAAUACACUUUCACUAUAUGUUUUUCUUUUCUUUUUCCUUUUUUUGCUUCCACAUUUACAAAUUAUAAAAAAUCAAAACUAAACAAAUAUUGCAUUAAACAAUUUGAAAAUUACAAAAUGACCCAAAACAACCCAGAACAGUGUUAGGCCGACUUCUGGAGCUACCGGAACAGUGGCGUUGUGUUGUUUCAUGCACCACCGCCAUUAGCGGCGUGUGGAUUCACACACCUCUGCCAAUGACGAUGGCAAGACCGAUGGAUUGUGAACGUCUUAUUCUUCUCUGUUUCCCUACAUCGGCGGUGACCUGCAGCAACAACAAAACCGCAACAACCAGUUGAUUUUAGUUUUUAUUUCCUUUGUUUUUUUGAAAUCUGCUUCGGUUUUUUCUUUUUAGAUCUGCCCUGUUUCUCUGCCUCCCUUCUCUGUUUGUUUCUCUUCUACCGAAGACCGAUCUGAUGGUUGCUUUCGUCCGCAAGGCUUGUGGAUCUCCGAUGAGGAUGGCGUUGCUGUAGCUAUUGGUGAAGGAGAUCAAUGGAGGCUCAGCAGAGAGAGAGGGGUGUCGCUAUUGAAGGCAGUGAGCUGGGUCAGCUGAGGACCGGUUGAAAGAUAUGAGUGGUCUUGGCUAGUCUAUGGUCGUUGCUGUUGAAGAGACCGAAGAUGAAGAAGACGCUGCUGAGAGAAAGAUUGGUCUGGUCUGUCGGUUCAAAGGGGAGGAAAUGCAGAUGUCAAGGAAAUGGGGGUAGUGCAGAUGCGGUCUGCCCUUUUAUUUCUUUGGUUUUUUUUUUUUUUUUAAAGGAUGGGGGAGAUGGACGGUUAAGGAGGUGGAGUGGAAGAACGAUGGAGAGGGGAAAUAGGGGUUGGUGUGCCGGACGUGGGGAGAAGAAGAUGGUGAGCGGCAGCUUAGGAGAGAAAAUGAAAAGCCACUGGUGGGGUUGCGGCUAUGUUUUGGGUAGAGGUGGAUUUUAGGGUUAGGUUUCCUUUUUUUUUUUUUUUGUAUUUUUCUUUCAAAAUUGCCCCCCUCACUUUUUGUGAGCAUUGAAGGCUAUUAUUUAUAGGUAAAAUGUUGUUUAGGCCUCAAAAUUAGUCCUUCAACUUUCUUUUUGUAAAUUUUAAUUUUUCUUGUCUUUUUUUGUAUUUUUUUGAAAACGAGCAAUAUCAAAGUCAACUCAAUGAAGAAAAUCAAUGAUUUUAAAAAUGACGCGUGAAAAGUUGAACGCACUCGAAAGACCCUUGAAAAUUUUAAAUUUUUUUUUAGACGAUAUUGAAAAUGCUAAAAAUAAUGCAAAUAUAUUAAAAAUAUUUUUUUGGAUUUUCGUUGUUUUUCACUAUUUUUGAAUUUUUCAAAAAUUUUAUAAAAAAUAUAGGUCAAAAAUUGGAUAACAACAAUUAAGAUGGGAUGGGGUAUCAUUAACAAUAAUAAUAGUCUAUAGGCUUCAAUUCUCAGAAGUAAGUAUGUCAGAUCUAGUGAUAACAUUCUCCUAUUUGGAAUGUGAUAUGCAAGGAAUGGUCUCAUGUGAUUAAAGGCAUUUCAUGGGCUACUAGCAAUGGAGAAAAUGUCAAGUAUUAGGAAGAUAAGUGGUUGGAUGGCUUUGGUUCUCUUGCUAGAUAUGCGACUUAGGAUCUAUCUGAGGAACUGUUCAAUAAGUCGGUGGUAAAAAUAGUUUCAGUAAUAAUCAGUGUAGAUGGGAUACUUUUCCACACCUCUUGCCAAUGAAUAUUGUGAUGACUCUAGCUAGCUAUCACCCUUCUAAUAAGGAGUCAAAUAAGGACCAUCUCUUUUGUAACCUUUCAAUGAAUGGUGGGUUCACUAUUAAAUCAGCUUAUUUCUCUCUUAUUAACUCUUGUGAUAACCAAACCCAUUUGAAGCCUUUAUGACAUUUUGUUUGGAGAUAGAGAGGUCCCAAAAGAAUUAGAUCUUUCCUUUAGCUUCUUGUCUAUAACAAAGCAAUGACUAAUGAGAUUAGGUAUAAAAGACAUAUGAGUGGUUCCUUUAAUUGUCAUUGUGGUAGUAGUGAUAUUGAUACUAUUUUGCAUGUGUUAAGGGACUGCAAAUGGGCCUAUGAAGUGUGGCUGAAAAUCUUGCAUCCAUGUGAUAUUGAUGGUUUUUUUGUUGUGGAUUUACAUGUAUGAUUGCUAUCAAAUUUGUCAAGCAUAGUUAAAACGAAGAAAGGUUGGCUUGGUCUUUGGGCUUUUGCAAGAUUAUUUUGGAAUUUGAUUCUUUAGUUAUGGUGGGUGUACUCUUGAAAUAGACCAUGAAAGUUGAUGCUAACUUUGCCUUGGUUAACAGAGCUUAUGAAGCACUAAAAAGAGAUUAGGUAAUCCAAAUACAACAUUCUUACACAGAGGCAAAUGCUACUGUUGAUAGGCUCGCUAACUUUGGGUUUUCCAGGCAUCCACUUUCUAAGGAGGAUUUGACUAUUAAUAACACUCUAGAGAGCUUGUAUUGGUUUUAUUUUAUGACUUGAUUGGAACGAUAUUCCCUCAAGUAAUUUAAUUUUAGGCUUUAGUCCUGAUUUAUACCAAAACAUAUUAAAAAAAAAUACUUUAAAAAGAACAACUACUACACUACCAAAUAUUCCUUUAUACCCAUGGACAAAUAAUAAUGUAUUUGUUUCUCAUUUAUAGAUUAUUAAGUGUAGUUAACAUACUUAAAUUUAUUAAUUUAAACAGUAUGUUACGAUAAAAAUAUCAUUUUAAGGUUUAACUAUGUUUUUAAAUAUAGUAAUUGUUGAUUUAUGAUUUUAAUAAUUAAAGGAUUUUACCAAUAGAUUUUAAGUUUAGGUACCUCUAAUGUAAAAUACUUACAUCCAUAGGCAAAUGAGUAAUAUAGAAAGCUGAGGAAACCUAACUAAAAUCAACGAGUCUUUAACAACUACCUUCGUAUACAGUUAAAGUUGAGUAAUAUAGGUCGCAACUUGGAUAACAGAUCAUCUUUUUAAAAAAAAUUAUAAUAUUUUAAAAAAAAAAAAUGCAUAACAUAUCAUCCUUUUAAAAAAAAUUACUUUAGUCCAUCUCUUUUCAUUAUAAAAUAUAGAAGUCCAAAGGCAAUAGUUUAUGUAACGGAUGAUAAAGGAUGCUUAUGAGUUGGCUUUUUCAAAAUAAAAUGGUAAUUUCUUCUACAUUUAUAGAGCCUAUUUAUUUUUAUAUUUUGAAAAUAUUUUUUAAAAAUAAUAUUUUAUUUUUUUAUUUUUAAACUGUUUUGAUGUAUUGUCAAAAUUAAUUUUAAAACACUAAAAAAAUAUUAUUUUAAUAUAUUUAAAAAAUACUUUAAAAAUUAAAUAGUACUAUACCAUCCUCUUAUACCCAUGAAUAAAUAAUAAAUUAUAUAUUUAUUUCUCAUUUAUAGAUUUAGUUAACAUACUUAAAUUUAUUAAUUUAAACAGUAUGUUAUGAUGAAAAAAAUAUCAUUUUAAGAUUUAAUUAAGAUUUUUAAAAUAUAUAUACAAGUACUUGUUGAUUUAUGAUUUUAAUAAUUAAAGGAUUUUACCAAUUGAUUUUUAACGUUUAGGUACCUCAAAUGUAAAAUACUUUACACCCAUGGGCAAAUGAGUAAUAUAAGAAGUUGAGGAAACCCAACCAAAGUCAACGAGUCUUCUUCUCCAACAAGAAAAGACAUGGGAAAGUGUCUUCUUACUCACAUACUUGAACAAUCUCAUCCUCACAAAUAGACGAGCCUGUAGCUUUCCUCGUGAUCUUCUACCCGCCUCUUCCUUACAGGUAACACCCUUCCUUCCUUUUUGGACUUCUUGGAAUAUUUUUCGUUUCGGCUCUCUGUCCCAUAAUCUUUGAUAAAGAGGAAAAUGAAACAAAAAAUUGAUUGGUAUCCGAUCUUAAUGGGAAAUCACAGUGUUCUGGAUCUUGUUGGUUGAUCUGUAAUGUAGCAGUAAGCAGCUGUAAUUAUUUAAUUAGCCGUCGGUGAAGAGGUCAAGUUUCAGUUCAGAAGGUGAGGUAUUGAAUUCUAGUAGCACUCAACUUUUAUUUGCCUUUCCAUUUCGUUAACAUAUAUAUUCGGCAGCUUCAAUCUGGCCUACCUAAGUCUUACCUUCUCUCAACAACCCUCAUUUCCUGCUCUGUCCUCUGAGAGAGCCAGAGACAUGGAGGUUGAACAUUUUAGCCACCCAGAUCAUCCAUUGAUCCUCAUUAAUCAAGUUCUCGAGUAUAGUUGUGAAUUAGUUAUUUGCUCUGGAUGCGAGGGACCUAUAUGGGGUCCUUGCUACAGUUGCACCUCUUGCUACUUCUUUCUUCAUAAGACAUGCGCCGAGCUGCCCCGUGAGAUCAAGCGGCGCAUUCAUCGUAGACACCCUCUCCAUCUACUAGCAAAGUCACCAUAUAAAGGAAAAUACCGUUGUAAUCGGUGCGCCAAAAGUUUCAACUGUUUUGUUUACCAUUGCUCUUUCUGUAAGUUUGAUCUUGAUAUCAAAUGUGCUUUUCAACCGGGUUUUUUGGAAGUUGAUAGUCAGGCACAUCAAGUUGCCCACAAGGAUCAUCCAUUGAUUUUGAAUGAAGAGCAAGAAUAUCAUGGUGAAGGAGUUAUGUGCUCUGUGUGCAAGGAACCAAUGUCUGGUCCUAGCUAUAGUUGCACUUCUUGCAACGUCUUUCUUCACAAGAAGUGUGCUGAGCUACCCCCAGAGAUCAAGAGGCAAAUUCAUCCAGAACACCCUCUUCGUCUACUGCCAAAUCAUCAUUUGAUCUGCGGAUUUUGCAACGAAACUUGCUAUGAGAGUUUUGUUUACUGCUGUUUUGUGUGCGAAUUCAACCUCCAUAUCAAAUGUGCUUUUCCACCUUGCGUUUAUGCAGCUGAUCAGGAUCAGGGGCAUCAAUUUAGAAGCCUGCUGAAUCCACGUUCAUUCAAAUCAAUCUCCUUCACUUGCAAUGCAUGCGGCACAGAUGGAUAUGGCUCCCCAUUCAUGUGCACCAUGUGCCAACUCGUGGUCCACGAAGAAUGCAUUUCAUUGCCAGGCACCCUUAAAACGGCACUGCACCAUCAUCCCCGAAUCAUCCACACAUAUCAACUUCAACAAUGCAUCGAAUCUAUAAACAAGGACUGUGGAAUUUGUUAUCGGGAAGUUGACACAGAAUACGGAGUUUACUAUUGCCCAGACUGUGACUUUGUUGCACACGUGAAUUGUAGCAGAGAAUAUGGCGAUUCUGCAACAGAGACUGCUGGAGAAAACGAAGAAGAGCAAAGUGUGACUGUUGAUGAUCAAUUCAUGGAACCUAGCUUUCGCGUUGUCCGUGAGAUCAAGCAUGGAGAGGAGAGAAUAAUUGAAGAGAUCGAGCAUUUCAGUCAUCAACAUAAUCUAAUCCUUACUGACAAGGUUGAUUAUGAUCUGAAGUGUGAUGGGUGCAUGUUACCAAUCUCAACUUCAUUUUACAGUUGUGUCAGUUGUAAUUUCUUUCUUGACAAAACCUGCAUGGAAUUACCCAGGCGAAAAAAGUGGCAAUAUCACGAAAACCAACUGAUUCUUUCAUGGAGCCUAGAGGUACAUUAUCUGGACUACUGCUAUGUGUGUAAUCAAAAUUUUCGUGGGCUCAUGUACACAUGUGAUAUGUGUGGACUCCGGAUUGAUGUCCGAUGUUUCAAAUCAAUAUUGAAAGAUUGUUUUAAACAUGGAGGUCAUGAGCAUCCCCUUUAUCUUCCAGCGGACAGAAAGAAUAUUCUCCGUUGCAAUAUUGAAGGUCACUGGCCUCCCCCUUUGCUUACAGAUGACAGAGGGAAUAUUCCGCAUUGCAGUGGCUGUUGUGUCCCUGAAGAAUCAAAGGUAUUUUUGAAAUGUGCGGUCUGCGAUUUCAAGCUGGGUAUGAAAUGUGCUACACUGCCAUACAAAGCAAGACACGAGUAUGAUGACCAUCCUCUCCUCCUCACCUACAUUAAUGAAAAUGACUACCAGCCUUCCUGCAUAAUUUGUGAAAAAGAUAGAGACCCGAAGCUCUGGUUCUACCGUUGUGAGGAAUGCGACUUCGAUGCUCAUCCAGAAUGUGCUCUCGGGAGAUACCCAUAUUUCAAGCCAGGGUGGGUUCACACAUAUCCUAAACACCCUCACCCUCUUGCUUUGGUCGUCAAGACAGAGGAUUAUCGUCCGCAGGCAUGCGAUACUUGUGGUGAGCCUUGCGAUGACUUGGCCCUUGAAUGUACUGAUCCUAACUGCAGUUUUAUCGUCCACAGGAAAAGAGUGCAAUGCUGGGUGUCAUUAUGGUAAUUGGAUUGUUGGCUAAACUUGUGGCGUAGCCCUAUUCCACUGUGAAUGGUUAGCUUCAUACUCAUUAUCUCUGUUUCUAUUUUCGCAUAUCAGAUCACUCUUUUGUUUCUCUGUUUUUUUCUGAACAAUAAAAGAUGCUAUUUUUUUCUGAACAAUAUUGUUCAGAUGUUAUUUCAUCUUCAAUCAUAUUCUAUUAAAACUGUGAAGGUAGUUUGUUGUUUCUUUGAGCCUUCGUAGUGACAAAGAUGUCUGACCUUCCACCAUUUUUUUAGCGUAGCAGGAAGUUCUCCAUAAAUUCUGCUUUUACAUUUUUUUUAUAGAUUUUAUUGUAAAUGCAUAGAAAAUAUAAAAUAACACUUAUCUAACUGAUAUCAAGUAUUUUCAUUCAAAUAUUUAAUUUUUAUUUCCUUAACACAAUCUAAUAAUAAAUAAAUGUAUUUAAACGAAUACCUCAAGGGCAUUCGAUAGCUUUGUCCUUUAAUAAGAUAUAUCAUGAAAAAAUAAGUUAAUUCAUGUUUUUGGUAUUUUUCUUCUUAAGAAGAAUAAGAAUAAGCCUCCAUCUUUGUUUAUCUAAUUUCAAAACCACGAAGGGAUUUAGAGGCCCAAAUCCUAAAAAAAAAAACUAAAAAUGUGUUUAUUUAAAUUUGAUUGUCAGGCACAUCAACUUGCCCACUUAGAUCAUCCAUUGAUUAUGAACGAAGAGCAAGAAUAUCAUGGUGAAGGAGUUAUGUGCUCUGUGUGCGAGGAGGAAUGUCGGGUCCUAGCGAUUGUCGCACUUUUAGCAAAUUCUUUCUUCAGAAGAAGUGUGCUGAGCUACCCCUGGAGAUCAAGCGGCACUUGCACCCUCUUCACCUGCUGGCAAAGCCACCAUCUCAUUGCUCAAGAUGCGUUUGUGACAAGAGUUUUGUUCGCCAUUGUUGUUUCUGGGAAUUUGACGAUAUCAAAUGUGCUCUUCCACCGUGCAUUUUUGAACAUGAAGGUCAGGAACAUCUAAUUAUUUGUCUAGCAAAGUAGCUUCAGUUGAAGAUUGCCUGUCUCACUUGCAAAGCAUGUGGCACUGAUUUGUUGAAGAUUAUUACCAGCAGACGUCACAUCUGUUGCAUUUCUUCAUUCAGCUAACCCAGUCUCACAAAAUUUUCCCUGUGUUUAGAAAGUUUCACCAAAACAAUAAAGCUAAAAAUGUCAUUACAAUUUCCUAGUAGAUAUUCAACUUUGCUAUGAGUUUUCAAAACAUGAUAAAAAGAUUUCUAUUUUUUUAUUCUGUUCAAGCAACAUUGACAUGGCAAUAAGCUAGCAUUGCACUGUUAUGGAUCAUGGCGAUUUGAUUUGUUUUUCAAUUUACAAUUUAGUCAAAUUCAAAGAAAACUUACACACAAAAAAGGAAAUAACCUGUUCAAAAUCUAAUUAGAAAUAAACUUCAUUUUGAUAUAUGGAAACUGAUUAUAAUGAUAACAUGACCAUUGAAACCUAAAAACAUAAAUUUGUUAAUUAAGAAAUGCUAGGAAAACUGUUUUUUUUUUUACUAAUAUUUGUUUAUCAAUAGAAAUAAAAGGCAUCUAUUUGAAGAUGUCACCUAUAUGAUUUAAUGUUAUUUUAGUUUUUGCCGUUUACAAAAUUUUACAGCACAUUAAGCUAUGAAAGUUACCCGUUUUGGAAUGAGUCUAGAGGGAUCUUUAAUUUUAAAUUUAAUUUUUUAUAUUUUUAUAUACAUAUUGUAUAUUGUAUCGGUAUCAUAAAUAAAUUUUAAAAAAUAUAUAAUAAAAAUUUUAAUCCAUUCAAAAAUAAUAAUAAUAAUUAGUACUAUCUUAUACCGCAUCCACAUAGCAUCGGUUUUGCUUUGAAAACAACUUGGCGACUGAAUGGUGGUCUAGUUAAACGUAUUUUUCUAAUCAGUGAUUUUUCUUUUAAAAUCAAGACGGUUGGCAUGAACUUGUGCUUCGUUUUCUUAUUUAUUUUUUUAUUCUAUAGUAAAAGGUAUUUUUUUAUUAGUUUAUAUGUUAAUCAUGAUUGAGUUUUUUAUUCAAAUGAUUUUAAAGAUAAAUAAUUUAAAGUUAUGAAUCAUCGAACAAUCCAUUUAAAGUUAUAUAAUUAUGUUGUGAUGUAUCUUAAAUCAAAUAGAAAUUAUACUAGAUUAUUAACAUUUUUUAAUAAAUAUAAAAGAAAUAUUCAAACAUUAAUAUUGUUUUUAACAAAAAAAAAUAUAAAUAAUGUGAGAGUUAAUUUGAUAUAAUUUGGUUGAAUUUACAAGUUUACAAGUAACCUAUAUAACCCGAAAAAACAUAAUUGGAUUAAAAACAAUUUUAAGAUGAUAUAUUUUUUUAAUAUUAAGAUAAAAAUAUAUUUAAAUAUUUUAUUAAAUUAAAUCCAAAAAAAAGUGAGUUUUUUUUAAUAGAAGCAAGAAAAACAUUUUUUUGUAAUGAUUUAUAUGCACAUUAAAAUGUGUUUUAUAUACUUGAUUUGGUUCUUGAUCUAUAGUAAUGAACCGGCUUUAUUUAAAAAUUUCUCAAAAAAUAAAAUUGCGUUGAACAAAUUAAUAAAACUACUUUAUCUCUUCUUUUUUAUAUAUAUAUUAAAUGAUUGGCUAAAGAUGAAAUAAAUAAUUUUAUAUUAUUUGUUUGUACGUAUUACUUUUAAGCGUAGACUCUUUUAUUUGGUGAUAUAUAUACGACUAACUUAAUUUGUUUUUACUCGUGCACAUAUCGACGACCUUUUUCAAAUUCCAAGAACAUGUCACUUCAAAGAAAUUUCCUGGUUGAUAAUGAACAGACAUAAGCAGUGCGUAAUAAUUUGACUGAAAAUAAAUGACAGCAGGGCAGGUUAAUUAGAUAUAGUGAACUAAUCAUUAAUUAAAUUUAUUUAAAUCAUUGAACACAUAUCUUAAGUAUUAACUGAACAUAUAAUUUUUUUAAAAAAAUAUCAAAAACAUUAAACUGGACUCAUUCAUCCUAGAGCCAGAAAAAAAUAUAUAUACAGAAUUAGAUAUAGGGCAGGUUAAUUAGAUAUAGUGUACCAACCAUUAAUUAAAUUUAUUUAAAUCAUACACUACAAAUUCUAAGUAUUACCUGAACAAAUAAUUUCUUUUAAAAAAAAAAAAGAAUCAUAACCAUUAAACUGGACUCAUUCUUCCUAGAGCCGGAAAAAAAAAUGAAUACAUAUAUACAGAAUUAGAUUUGAAGAAGACGAGAGAGCAACCUCCUUUUCCCCUCUUAACCACGAGAAUAAUUGAUUAAGGAAAGGAAUAAUGAAGAGAACUUCGGAAUCAAAUAUAAUUAGAAUCAAAUAUUUUUAUAAACUCAAUUCUAUAUUGGAAACCAAUAUUAUUCCUUGAUUUAAAUCCAUGCAUGCCUCCUUUUGUUCUUCAAAGUAAAUAACACAGAAACCUCAAACCUGGUAUUCUCUCAACAUGUACAUCACUAUGCUGUCAUCCUAUACAUAUGUCAUAAAGGUUAAUUCCAAUAAUUAAAAGGUUGUGAAAUUGGUGCAAAACCCUACCUCUAAUGUUUUUUUAUUUCCUUGAAGGGGAAAAAAAGGUGAAAUUUUCAUCUUUUGCCUGGUUUCCAAAUGCAGACCUUGAUGAAAGGAGCUUGCAAGAACCCCAUGUCGUUGAAUGCGAUUUUCUCUCUUAUAAUGCAUUAAUUCUUCUUCUACACAUGUCAUGGCCAUGGAAAAAUUAAUUUGGAAAUUAAUUCCUCCUUGGAGAAUGGACGCAAAAUCCAAUUUUUUUUUUUUGGAUAAAUACUUCCCUUUCCAACCAUGCAAAUAGCAAAGUACAUGGUCUUUUAGGUUCGGCGUGAUAGUUACUUGGUCAAACCGAGGAAUAUUCUUAUGAGAAAGACAAAGUAGAAAAGCAAUGCUCCUUCUCAGCUUCUCAGAAAUUAAACAUGCACUGAAAGGGUAACCAUGACAGCUGACCAAUCCGCCUGCAAGGAAACCACUCCAAUCUUCCCCAUGAGAGAAUUUCUUCUUCAAAGUUCAAAGUAUUCAUUCUGCAGUGAAUUCAUGAUCAGAGCAGAGUUUUUCUUGGUGAACGUACAAGUCAGCUGUGCCUUUUUUUCUCUGGGGGAAAUUGAUGAAUCUUAGCCCAAUGAAGUUUCCUUGAUAUUUGAUACCCUCAAGGCCAGACGAACACUGCAAGCACACUAAAGUACAAGAACAAAUUGCAAUAAGAAAAACAAAGUAGAUUCUAUUAUCAUUUUCAUUGACUAUGGAUUUAGCUAUGGAAGUUUCAAUGGAUGACUAACUUGCGUGGAUCGAUGGUUAUUGAAUAUGAUCAAGAGGCGUGAGCAAGAUAUACAGCUAAUUAGACUUGUUCUUCAUGGAAUUUGCAAGAUCUCAUAAAUUUUGUUUAAUUUAAUAGCAAAGGAAAAUCUGCAGGAGGAUCAGAAGUGGGACUGCAAGACAUGACGCUUAUAUUUAGACAAAUAUGCCCAUCAAAUCCAAUACAUACAUGCGUAAUUAAGCAGAGUACUCUUGUAUAGAUUUGAUGACAACUGCGUAAUAUUGGUCAACCAAGUACUAUUCAGAUUGAUAUUAACUUCCCUGUUGUGAUAUCUACGAUUCUACAGUUCUAAAUUUUCCAAAAGAAUAAAAUAUAAGAUCAGAAAAUACAAGGAAAUUUACUCCCUUAUAGAAGUCCUAACAUUUUUUUCUAAUUUAAGCUGACAUGAACCUGUCUUUUGUAUAUCCUCCACUUCUCAUUCAUUUGGCUUUAAACUUGCCAGAAAGUUGCACAAAAUUAACUACAAUUAUAACUUCUCAUUCUUUGGAGAGUUACUUUUGGCGAGAUGCGCUUUCCCUUGGUUGCCCCAUCCGUAAUUCUACCAGUCCUCUGGGCUCUUGCUCUAGUACAGAGCCUUGAUUUUCAAUUUCCAAACUUCAAGGAUUCUGAUAUAAAUCGACUUAUUCGGAGUCCCAAUUCUAAAAUAGCCUGGGACGCCAUCCAAGUCACACCAGAUUCUAAUGGAAUUUCUAUGAGUAACAGGGCUGGAAGGGUCUUGUACAAUGAGCCAUUCAGACUAGGGAGCAAAAACGGAGGGAAGAAUGCAUCUUUCAAUACGGCCUUCGUACUCAAUAUCAAAAGCCAGACAGCUUCAAGUGGUGAAGGCUUAGCUUUUAUAUUAACAGCAGAUCCUGAUGUUCCAGAUCGAAGUGAAGGACAAUGGAUUGGAAUCGUAAAUUCCACGUUAAAUGGAUCCAAGGAAGCCAGGACAGUGGCAGUAGAAUUUGACACCAGCCAAAGUUACCCAGUUGAUCUUGAUGAUAACCAUAUUGGAUUGGUUGUGAACAGCAUCUACUCAAGAAGAUCGGUUUCGUUAAAUGACAGGGGCAUUUAUAUUUCUAAGGGCGAAGAUAUCGCGGUAGAUGUUCGAUACGACGGCAAGAAUUUGACCGUUUUUGUGGGUGGGGACAUGAAGAAUCCAGUUAUUUCUGAGCAUCUCAAUCUCUCAGACUAUCUUCCAGAAAACGUUUAUGUAGGGUUUUCUGGUUCAACAAGUAACAACACUCAACUAAAUUGUGUGAAGUCAUGGAAGUUCAGCGGUUCGGAGAUAAAAGACUCCAAGUUGCGGUGGGUUUGGAUUUUAGUUGCAGUAGGAUCAGUACUAAUCCUCUUGAUUAGUAUUGGUAUCGCCCUUUUCUUGUACAGGAAAAGAGGAUGUGAAGUGGACAGGCGGGAGGAUGCUUACCCAAAUAUUGAUGAGGCAAUCCUAGGCUCCUCAACUGCUCCGAGGAAGUACAAAUUCAAAGAACUUAGCAAAGCAACUGGUAAUUUCAACCCCAAGAACAAGCUCGGGAAAGGUGGCUUCGGGACAGUCUACAAGGGAAUCUUGGGAAACAAGGAAGUCGCUGUCAAAAGAAUCUCAAAGAAAUCAACCCAAGGUAAGCAAGAAUUCAUAGCAGAAGUCACUACAAUAGGCAACCUCCAUCACCGAAAUCUUGUUAAGUUGAUCGGAUGGUGCCAUGAAAGCGUGAGUACCUCUUGGUUUACGAAUACUUGCCAAAUGGAAGCCUGGAUAAAUACGUAUUUUGUGAUGAAAAGCCAGGCACGCAGGAAGCAACACUGAGCUGGGAAAAAAGGCUGAGUGUGAUUUCCGGAGCGGCACAGGCAUUGGAUUAUCUGCAUAAUGGCUGCAUGAAGAGGGUACUUCACCGAGACAUAAAGGCCAGUAACAUAAUGUUGGAUUUAGAUUUCAAUGCGAAACUGGGAGAUUUUGGCUUAGCUCGCAGCAUUAUUCGAAAUGAACAAACUCACCACACAACGAAAGAGCUUGCUGGAACACCUGGCUACAUGGCUCCGGAGAGUAUUCUUACGGGAAGGGCAACGACCGAAACAGAUGUUUAUGCUUUUGGCGUUCUUGUUCUGGAAGUUGCUUGUGGAAGGAAGCCUGGAGGGCAGACUGAGCGGGAUGACUACAUUAGUAACAUUGUGCAUGGGCUAUGGGAACUUUACAGAAGGGGAACGAUCCUCGAAGGUGCAGACCCCAGAUUGGAUGGAAUAUUCAAAAUUGAAGAAAUGGAGUGUGUGCUUAUUCUGGGGCUGGCCUGCUGCCAUCCAAAUCCAAACGAUAGGCCCUCCAUGAAAACUGUUUUGCAGGUCCUUACAGGGGAAGCGCCACCACCAGACGUGCCAGCUGAAAGGCCUGUUUUUAUGUGGCCGCCCAAUCCUCCAUCCUUCAAAGAAUGGGGCAACUCUAUCAUUGGAGGCGAUCUCUCUCCAUUUUCUGAACUCUCAGGGAGAUGAAUCAAAUGCCAAAGGAUCGACUGAUGAUCGACAUAUUCUCCGUCAAAUUUAUAUAUCUAGCCAUAACGUUGCUGUGUUCCAGGCAAUGAUUGUUAAGAAAUAGCAACACUUCAAUAAAUUUAUUUUUUUCUUCGUCAAAUUAUGUACAUAGCGCUGGAAAACUAGCUGCAGGUUCACCAUAAUUCCUAGAAGGAAGAUGUUUUCUGAAAUGUCGAAUCCCUUUGGCGAGCCAACGAUGGUAUAUCUUAGUGAUCAAUUUAAUGUUUUUUUUAAUAUGUUAUUAAAGUUUUAAUGACCAAGCAAUAUAUAUUGGACAAGGAAUUUUAUUUCAAUAGAAUUUUUUUCAUAACAAAAUUUUAAGAAAACUAAAGUUGUCAUACCCAGCUGGCCUUUUGCACACCUUAUUUUGACAACAAAAGCUGCAGGUAAAAAACCAAAGUAAUUUGCCGAUAAGCAAAACAUUUCAAUGCUUUAAAACUAAUUUGGGAGGGGUCCUUGACUGAUUACUCCCCUCAGCCCCAUUUAACUAUCAAAGGAUAUCGAGGUGGCAAGGCUAUUAAUAUCAUGGACUCAUAGUAACGAAAAGAAUGAAGACCAAAGAGUCAAGAUCAUCAGAGACACGACAUGAAGUAAUUCUGCAGUAAUUCACCGUUCUAUAUGGGGAAUAAAGAUUCAAAAUCACCCUCUACGGGGUAAUAAAAUUCUUUAUCGUGGCAAACAAUAAUAAGAACUAGAAGAUGGAGUUCAAUCUAAGGCUGUUCCGGAGAACAUAGCAAGAAAAGAAGACCAGUAACACAGAAAAUGAACCUCAGGUUAACUGGAAUAUACAUCAGGUUAACUUGGAUACAUAACAAGAAAGCAACUGGAAAGCAAGUAAGCAUGUGCAAAGGAAACUAAAUACAUUGAAGAGAGAGAGCAGAACCUGUCAAUGAAAUCUGCAAGAACUUGCAGGAAAACUCAAUUUAGGCAAACCUGUCUAUAUUGGAAACCAAUAUUAUUCCUUGAUUUAAAUUCAUGCCUCCUUUUAUUCUUCGAAGUAAAUAACACUGAAACCUUAAACCCGGUAUUCUCUCAACAAGUACAUCACUAUGUUGUCAUCCUAUACAUAUGUCAUAAAGGUUAAUUCGAAUAAUUAAAAGGUUGUGAAAUUGAUGCGAACCCUACCUCUAAAGUUUUUUUAUUUCCUUGAAGGGGAAAAAAAAGGUGAAAAUUUCAUCUUUUGCCUGGUUUCCAAAUUGCAGACCUUGAUGAAAGGAGCUUGACAAAACCCCAUGUAGUUGAAUGCGAUUUUCUCCCUUCCACAUAUGCCAUAGCCAUGGAAAAAAUAGUUCGGAAAAGUUGUUUUUUUCAGAUUUGACUGUACCUCCUUGGAGAAUGGACGCAAAAUCCAAUUUUUUCUUGUAUAAAUGCUUCCAUUUUUCAACCAUGCAAAUAGCGAAGUACAUGGUCUUUUAGGUUCGGCGUGGUAGUUACCUGGUCAGGCCGAGGAAUAUAUGGGCUUGUGAAACCAGCCACCUAAGUCAACAAUGGUGGGAGUCAACAAUGGUGGUGAAGCUAUCCUUCCUUAAUCAUAAAUUGUAGGCACCAAACUUGUGCCACUUGCCUUGCCCCUUGUAUUUGCAUGGAUGUUUGCUUAUAAAUAGGCAAUGCAUCCAAGCAUUGUAACCACACCACAAGAGAGAAACAAGAGAGGAAGAGGAGAGUGAAGAGGGAAAAUAAUCCCACAAAGUUGUGAGGUAUUUGUGAGAGAGUAAGUGAGGUGUUUUCUCCUAGUAAUAGAGAGAUUCUUAGUUGUUCUCCUAUUAUUUGAGAGAGGUUGUAAUUCUCAUAUUACUUAGUAAAAUCCUUUUAUACUUGCCCGUGGACGUAGCCUAAUUGGGUGAACCACGUAAAUUCUUGUGUGUCUCAUUUCUCAUUUUAGCCUUUUGUCUUGUCGGGUUUGCAUGCCAGUAUCCUAACAGUGGUAUCAGAGCCUUCCUGGUUGGUGUUGUUAACACACAAAAGUUAUUCGUGUAUACGGUUACUAUUCACGUCUACGGUACUAUUCACUUAUACGGUACUGUUCACUUACGCUACUGUUGGCGUAUAUAGAAAGUCAGUGCGGUGAUUAAAUACAGUCUAGGAAGUUCUGUCUAAGGAGAUUGAGUUUUAAGCGGGACCGUUUGUGACCCCUCCAAUCUUUCCUGGGAACUUACUUAGUGAAGUAUUAUUCACACGAUACUAUUUCUAUAUACGUUACAGAUCUGUGAAACGGUGAUAGCUGAAUAGAUCUCAGUGAAUACAAUGGCAACAAAGUACGAGAUUGAGAGGUUCAAGGGGAGUAAUUUCUCACUGUGGAAAAUGAGAAUCAAGGCAAUCUUGAGGAAAGAUAAUUGCUUGGCAGCAAUUGGGGAUCGGCCCGCGGAGAUCACUGAUAAUGCAAAAUGGAAUGAGAUGGAUGGCAAUGCUAUUGCUAACAUACAUUUAGCAUUAGCUGAUGAAGUAUUAUCAAGUGUGGCGGAGAAGAAAACAGCUAAGGAGAUAUGAGAGACUCUAACAAAGCUAUACGAGUCCAAGUCUUUGCAUAAGAUUUUCUUAAAGCGGAGACUUUAUACCCUUCGAAUGGCAGAAACCACGUCGGUGACUGACCACAUCAACACAAUAAGAACUCUAUUUUCACAACUCACUACGUUGGGUCAACAAAUAGAGGAAAAUGAACGUGCAGAGCUUCUACUUCAAAGUCUUCCUGAUUCGUAUGAUCAGCUCAUUAUCAACUUGACCAAUAAUAUCCUCUCAGACUAUUUAGUCUUCGAUGAUGUUGCAGCCGCUAUCUUGGAAGAAGAAAAUAGGCGCAAAAACAAAGGAGACAGAAACAGUUCAAACCAAGCAGAGGCGUUAUUGGUGUCAAGAGGAAGAUCAACGGAGCGUGGCUCCAGUGGGAGUCAAAGGCAGGGGAGGUCUAAAUCAAGAAGUAAGAAGGUUGAAAUGCUACAACUGUGGCAGAAAAGGGCACUUCAAAAAGGAUUGUUGGUUUAAAAAGGGUAUAGAGAAUACUGCAGAGUCAUCAAACCUCAAGGAUGUGUUGCAAGCACCUCAGAAGAUGGAGAGGUUUUAUAUAGUGAAGCAGCAACAAUCUCUACAGAUAGAGAAGAGCUCACUGAGGUCUGGCUAAUGGAUUCAGGAGCAACAUGGCAUAUGACCCCUAGACGAGAUUGGUUCCAUACAUAUGAACCUAUCUCUGGAGGCACAGUGUUCAUGGGUGAUAAUCAUGCUGUAGAGAUUUCUGGCAUUGGCACCAUCAAAUUGAAGAUGUAUGAUGGCUUAAUUCGUACUAUUUCAGGAGUGCGACAUGUGAAAGACUUAAAGAAGAAUCUUUUGUCCGUAGGACAAUUUGAUAGUCUUGGCUGUAAGAUCCGAACAGACAAUGGAAUCAUGAAAAUUGUCAAAGGCGCGCUGGUGGUUUUAAAGGCAAGAAAGACAGUUGCAAACAUGUUUGUAUUAAUGGGAGAAACCAUCAGGGCAGAAGCAUCAAUCGCAUCAGCCAGUCCUGCAGAAGAGAAGACGAUGAUGUGGCAUCAAAAACUAGGCCACAUGUCAGAGAAAGGUUUAAAGGUUCUCUCUGAUCAGAAGUUACUCCCUGGGCUUACAAAGGUUACUUUACCUUUUUGUGAGCACUGUGUUACAAGUAAACAACACAGGUUGAAGUUUGGCACGUCAACAACUAAGAGCAAAUGCAUCUUAGACCUGAUUCACUCUGAUGUUUGGCAAGCACCGGUUGUAUCCUUGGGAGGAGCAAGAUACUUUGUAUCAUUCAUAGAUGACUUCUCCAGGAGAUGUUGGGUGUAUCCGAUUAGAAGGAAGGCAGAUGUGUUCGCAGUUUUUAAAACCUUCAAAGCGCGGGUAGAACUUGAAUCUGAAAAGAAGAUCAAGUGUUUGAGGACUGACAAUGGAGGAGAAUAUACCAGUGAUGAAUUUGAUAACUUCUGUCAACAUGAAGGUAUCAAAAGGCAGUUCACAACGGCAUACACUCCACAACAAAAUGGAGUGGCAGAGCGGAUGAACAGAACUCUAUUGGAAAGAACAAGAGCAAUGUUGAAGGCUGCAGGUCUAGAAAAGUCAUUCUGGGCAGAAGCAGUCAAUACCGCCUGUUAUGUGAUAAAUCGAUCUCCGUCAACUGCAAUUGAGUUGAAGACACCGAUGGAGAUGUGGACUGGAAAGCCAGCUGAUUAUUCUCGAUUGCAUAUAUUUGGAAGUCCUGUGUACGUGAUGUACAAUACUCAAGAGUCAGCAAGCUGGAUUCAAAAUCCAGAAAAUGUGUAUUCUUGGGAUAUGCUGAUGGAGUGAAGGGGUAUCGCUUGUGGGAUCCCACUGCCCACAAGGUAGUCAUCAGCAGAGAUGUCAUAUUUGCAGAAGAUAAAAUGCAAAUGGAAGAAAAUAAUAGCAUUUUAAAGGAGACUACAGAAGUCCAGAUGGAAAAUACUCAGAAUCAUACUUCUUCUGAAGCUGCACCAGAGCAUGAAGAACAAGAACAAAUAGAGUCUGAAACUCCUGAAGUUCGACGGUCAACUCGUGAAAGAAGACCACCGGCUUGGCACUCAGAAUAUGUUACUGAGAGCAACAUUGCAUACUGUCUUCUAACAGAGGAUGGAGAGCCAUCAACUUUCCAUGAGGCUAUCAAAAGCACAGAUGUAUCUAUGUGGAUGACAGCAAUGCAAGAGGAGAUUGAAGCUCUGCACAAGAAUAACACUUGGGAUCUUGUUCCGCUACCACAAGGAAGAAAGGCCAUUGGCAACAAAUGGGUUUACAAGAUAAAGCGUGAUGGCAAUGAUCAAGUGGAGCGGUAUCGUGCAAGAUUGGUGGUGAAAGGAUAUGCUCAGAAAGAAGGAAUAGACUUUAAUGAGAUAUUUUCUCCGGUGGUACGACUUACUACAAUCAGAGUAGUCUUGGCAAUGUGUGCUAUAUUUGAUCUUCACUUAGAGCAGUUAGAUGUGAAAACUGCAUUUCUUCAUGGAGAACUUGAAGAAGAAAUUUAUAUGCUCCAACCAGAGGGUUUUGCUGAAACAGGCAAGGAGAACUUGGUUUGCAGGUUGAACAAAUCUCUAUACGGUCUCAAACAGGCGCCGAGGUGUUGGUACAAGAGAUUUGAUUCCUUCAUAAUUAGCCUUGGGUACAACAGACUCAGUUCAGACCAUUGUACGUAUUACAAGAGGUUUGAAGAAAAUGAUGUUUUCAUCAUUCUGUUGUUGUACGUGGAUGACAUGUUGGUAAUAGGCCCCAACAAAGAUCGAGUCCAAGAAUUGAAGGCACAGUUGGCUAGGGAGUUUGAUAUGAAGGACUUGGGACCAGCAAACAAGAUUCUAGGGAUGCAAAUUCACCGAGACAGAAGUAAGAGGAAGAUUUGGCUUUCUCAGAAGAAUUAUUUAAAGAAGAUCUUGCGACGCUUCAACAUGCAAGAUUGUAAGCCAAUUUCCACCCCACUUCCUGUUAACUUCAAAUUAUCCUCAAGUAUGUCUCCUAGCAAUGAAGCAGAGAGGAUGGAGAUGUCUCGAGUACCGUAUGCAUCAGCAGUGGGAAGUUUAAUGUUUGCCAUGAUAUGUACAAGACCAGACAUUGCACAAGCAGUGGGAGCAGCUAGUCGAUACAUGGCAAAUCCUGGUAGAGAGCAUUGGAAUACUAUUAAGAGGAUCUUGAGAUACAUCAAGGGUACCUCAGAUGCCGCAUUAUGUUAUGGAGGAUCAGAAUUUACUAUCAGAGGUUAUGUUGACUCAGAUUUUGCUGGUGACCUUGAGAAAAGAAAAUCCACUACAGGCUAUGUGUUCAUAAUUGCAGGAGGAGCUGUGAGCUGGGUCUCUAAACUUCAGACUGUUGUAGCGUUAUCCACAACAGAAGCUGAGUAUAUGGCAGCUACACAGCUUGUAAAGAAGCAAUAUGGCUGAAGAAACUUAUGGAGGAGCUCGGGCACAAACAAGAGAAGAUUCUUUUGUAUUGUGAUAGUCAGAGUGCCUUGCAUAUUGCAAGGAAUCCAGCGUUUCAUUCAAGAACAAAACAUAUAGAUGUUCAGUAUCACUUUGUUCGCGAAGUGGUGGAAGAUGGAAGUGUGGAUUUUCAGAAGGUUCACACAAAGGAAAACCCAGCAGAUGCUUUAACCAAAUCAGUCAACACUGAUAAGUAUAUAUGGUGCAGAUCCUCUUGUGGCCUAGCAGAAACGUAAGCAGCAUGAAGAUGGCAAGUAUUGAAAGGAUAGAAGAAUCAUAAAUGAUGAAGUGUGAAGACUUGAUUCAAUCAUCAAAGUCUUCAAGUGGGAGAAUGUGAAACCAGCCACCUAAGUCAACAAUGGUGGGAGUCAACAAUGGUGGUGAAGCCAUCCUUCCUUAGUCAUAAAUUGUAGGCACCAAACUUGUGCCACUUGCCUUGCCCCUUGUAUUUGCAUGGAUGUUUGCCUAUAAAUAGGCAAUGCAUCCAAGCAUUGUAACCACACCACAAGAGAGAAACAAGAGAGGAAGAGGAGAGUGAAGAGGGAAAAUAAUCCCACAAAGUUGUGAGGUAUUUGUGAGAGAGUAAGUGAGGUGUUUUCUCCUAGUAAUAGAGAGAUUCUUAGUUGUUCUCCUAUUAUUUGAGAGAGGUUGUAAUUCCCAUAUUACUUAGUAAAAUCCUUCUAUACUUGCCCGUGGACGUAGCCUAAUUGGGUGAACCACGUAAAUUCUUGUGUGUCUCAUUUCUCAUUUUAGCCUUUUGUCUUGUCGGGUUUGCAUGCCAGUAUCCUAACAGGGCUCAUUAUAAUGAGAAAGACCGAAGUAUUCAAAGAUGAUAGAUUGGACAUGAUAAGUAGCAAACAAGACUCCAUUUAGUCAUGGUUCUGGAUUGAUUAAGCAAUUUAAAUAAAUUAACACAAAUAUAGAAUAGAAUUCUUGAUAAUAAGCAUUCCGUUUCAAUUCUUAGCCACGUCUAAAUCUUCACAUUUGUAGAAUUUUUCCUCUGCCUCCCCCAUGGUAUUCAGCAUGUUGGGAUGUUGCACAGCGUUAAUUCCUGACCAAAUCCAACUAUCUCAAUAUUAAACUUGAGUAUUUAAAGUUAUGGUUUGAAAGUAGUGGCCUCUAAAUCCAGAAAUGGCGGGCAUCGUGGAGGCAAGAGAUCGUGACUUCAGGAAUGGCAUCGUGGGCAUAGUGGUUGUGAUCUGCUGAAUCUUCCCCUGGCUAUGAUCUGCUGAAUUUCCCUGUUAAACCGGCUUCCUCUGAGUGAAACGAAGGAGACAAUGAACAUUGCUUCCAAAACAGCGUCGUUGUGUCCUUGGGCAUCUGUUUUUCACUUUGGUCCCUAAACAGUUUAAACUUAACAAUUAGGAUCCGAAUUAGUAAUAAUUGAUUUCUAAUUGUGCCCUUGGGUUAAUUUCAAUCAAAUCCCUAAAUUUAUUUAAUUAAUUAAAUCAAAAUUUAAUUAAGUCCGCAAACUUAUUAAUUCUUCAAUUUUUGACCAAUUGACUCUGAAAUUUUAUAAUUUCAUACAUGAACUUUAAAUUUUGUGUUGUCUUAACUCCAUUGUCAACUAUAUUCAAUUUUUAUUAUUUGUUCAAAAAUUGAGUUAUGAUAAAAUGAUAAAAUUAGGGAAUAGGACAAUUAAGAAAACGAAAAGAAAAACCGAGUCAGCCAGAUCAACUUGUCAAUCACACGAUCCAGAUCAUGAGAUUAGAACAAUUCAAUAAAAAGAAAAUCCAAUAUUAAAGAACUUGUGACCUGAAUAAUAAGACUGAGAUAACCUCAAUGAAAAAAAUAAAAACAAUAACUCUAUUUUAAACCUGGUUAACCUGUCAAAUCCACAAAUUUGAUCAUAAGAUAAGAAUAAUACUAAAAAAACAAAAAAAAUUAUAAAUUUUAUUUUCUAACCGAUCCAAUAUUGAAUGAGAAAAUUUAAAAUUUUAAAAAAACUAUAGAAAAUCUUUGUUUUACUUUCUUAAUACAUUCUACUUUACGAAACAAGAAGAAAGGAAAAAGAGAAAAGGAUAAACAAAAAAUUACUUGGUAGAGAUAACCAAGAAAUAGGUUUAUCAAGGGAAGGACAUAAUUUUUGUUCUAGAUAAACUUUGUGAAGCCACUGUUUUGAAUUUCUCGUGAUAACGAUGAUUUAAAAAAAAAACAUAUUUAAAAAUAUAUUAAAAUAUUAUUUUUUGUUUUAAAAAACUUAUUUUUAAUAUUCGUUUAUCAAGAUAAUUUAAAAAUAUAAAAAAAUUAAUUUAAAAUAAAAAAUAUAUAUUAUUUUAAAACACAAAAAAAUAAUAAGUAAUGUUUUUGAAUUAAAAAUACAUAUAUUUGAUAGGUCUUUCCAACUAAUUUGUUGAACAGUGGUCAUUUCAAUCAGAAGUUUGGCCUACUCCACGAACACAAAACAAAGUUAUACAUAAUGCAUGUAUGAUACAUAAACAAAGAGAAAUAAAUUAAAUACAUUAUUAUGUAAUACUAUUUAACUUGAUUUUCUGCUGCAAAGAUAUUAACUUAUCAUAAACCCUUCUUUUUGGUACUAAGUUCUGUAUAUAUCAAAUUUCUUGAUUUGUAGAUAACAAAAACAUAAUUAAUUCCGACUUCAUUAAUAAUUAUAUAUCUAAGACAUUUUAUAAAUAACUAAAAAUUUAUACAAAAAAAACUAAAAGUCAUACGUGAAUCACUAUGGCUUGUGAGAGGAUUUGUUGUGUAUUCGCAAAGUGUUUCCUUUUUUUUUUCUCAUUAAUUUUUUUGGUUAGUUUAUUUUUCAUUUCAAUAUUUACACAUUUAAUUAAUUUAGAAUUGAAUUUCAUGGUAUAUUUUAUUUUCUUCUUUUCGAGUCUUCAAUAAUGUUUUAAAACAUCAUGGCAUUAACUUUGUUUUUAAUCUUACAAAGAAGAAUUGAUCAGAAGCUUAAACCCCCUCUUGGAUCAAGUGGAGGAAUGCUCAAGUAAAGAUGAAAUAAAGAGAAAAACCAUGUCCUUAAUUUGUUCUUCCAUAACUACAUGAUUAUCUUACAAUUGUUUUUUUCUGACAGGUAGUGUAGGGAUAAAUCUCCGUUUAUAAUGGUGAUAAAUAAGAGUGAGUAAUAAAACAUCCAAUACUUUCAGACAUAAGCAUGAUCAAGCAAACAGAUGACUAAUCAAGAACAUAGCUAAUAAUUCUCCAGGAAAGAACAUCUCAGACCACUUUCAUAAGCACAGAGGUUCUGCAAUGCUUCAAUCUUCAGUGCAAAUUACAACAAUAUCUCAACAUUGCCCUUGGCAAAUUCCUUUUCCCCGUGCAGCAUGGCGUCUUUCACAGCCGCCUUCGUGUACAGUGCUCUCUUGAGAGCCCAGUUGAAGUUUUGAUUUUGAUAUCACGUCGCAGCAGUUGAAUCCUCACGGUCUGCCCAUAUGGAGAGAGCACCAUUUAAUUAGGCCUUGACCCUUACAACCUAGCUAUAAUUAAUACCUCGUGGGUGGUUCUGGUUUCCUUUUUACUUCCACAAAAAAAAAAAAAAAAAAAAGUUGACGGAAAUGGAUAGAGGAUUCAAUCGAGAAAUUAAAUAUCUAAAAAUAUGAUGACUUAAUUUUAUUUAAGCUUGUAAGAAAAAUAAUUAAUUGUAAAUACACCAGUUAAGAUGUAGACCACCUGCUCAAAAUCAAACAAGAAAAAAAGUUGAUAAAUAUCAUAAUUUAUUUUAAUAAAUAUCAUAUUUGAUUUGUAUAAUUUUGAAAAGUUGAUAUGCUUUCCUUUAAUCAUCUUGCAAUUGACAUAGAAUACAAGUUUGUUAUGUAAUUUUUUAAAGUAUUUUUCACUUUGAAAUGUAUUGAAAUAUAUUUUUUUUAAUUAUUUUAAAUAUCAAAAUGAUAAAAAAUAAAUACAUAAAAAAUAAAUAAAAAAAUUCAAUUUCUUUUUACAUUAAAUUGUUUUUUUAUCUGACCUGUAAAAUAUCAUAGUUCAUUAACAUAUAGUUUUGUUAAGCAAAAAUUAUAAUGUUUUUUUAUAAUAGGGUUUGAUGAGUAAUAUUCCAGCAUCUUAAAAAAAGUAAGUGUAUUUUUAGAAAGUUAGUUCUCGAUUUCUUAUUUUCUUGAAAUAAAUUAGAUAAAAAUAAUUAAAAUAAAAUAUAAGGCAAAGAAAAAGUUGUAUUUAAUAAUAAUAUAUAAGUUAGAGUAAUUGUCUUUAUACAAAUAAUAUAUGAAACCAUAAAACUUAUAAGAAACAAUAAAUAAUUAAGUUAUUAUAUGAAUAUGAAUUGAUUUUAAAUAAUUAAGUUAUUUGAAACAAUAAACAAUUAAAGGACAUGAGAGGAUGAUCAUUAAAAUAGAAAGGAAACUCAUGAUCUUCCUCUACCUCUCUCUUUUCAUUAUAAAACCUAGAAAUCCAAAGGCAAUACUUUAUGUAAGGGAUGAUAAAAGAUGCUCAUGAGUCGGCUUUUCAAAAUGAAAUGGUAAUUUCUUCUACGUCAUGUGUAAUUUGCUUUAGAUAUAUUGAUUUCCGAUUUUGGUAAUUAAAGUAUACUUUAAUUAUCGUAUAAUUUCAAUGUUUAGAGGUGCUCUGAUGCACAAUAAUUAGAGUUUGGUUAAUUUUAUAUUUCAAAAAUAUUUUUGAAAAAAAUAAAGAUUUUUUAUUUUUUAUUGUAAAUUAUUAUUUUAUAUUGUUUUAAUGUGCUGAUAUUAGAAAUAAUUUUUUAAAAUUAAAAAAUAUAUUAUUUUAAUAUAUUUUCAAACUAAAAAUAUUUUAAAAAUUAAUCAAAGUACAUUAUAAAUAUCCCCUAUAUCCAUAGAUAAAUAAUAAAUUAUGCAUUUGUUUCACAUUUACUAAGCGUAGUUAACAUACUUAGAUUUAUUAAUUUAAACAGUAUGUUAUGAUAAAAAAAUAUCAUUGUAAGAUUUAACUAAGAUUUUUUAAAAUAUAUAUACAAGUACUUAUUGAUUUAUGAUUUUAGUAAUUAAAGGAUUUUACCAAUAGACUUUUUAAAGUUUAGGUACCUCUAAUGUAGAGUGCUGACACCCAUGGGCAAAUGAGGAAUAUAGGAAGUUGAGGAAACCCAACUAAAGUCAACGAGUCUUCUUCUCCAACAAGAAAAGACAGGGGAAAGUGUCUUCUUACUCACAUACUUGAACAAUGCCAUCCUCACAAAUAGACGAGCCUGUAGCUUUCCUCGUGAUCUUCUACCCGCCUCUUCGUUACAGGUAACACCCUUUCUUCCUUUUCGGGCUUCUUUGAAUUUUGGGCCCUUUGAGUUAUUUUUCGUUUCGGCUCUCUGUCCCAUAAUCUUUGAUAAAGGGGAAGAGGGAAGAAAAAUGCUUCCCCAGCAAUUGAUUGGUAUCCGAUCUUAUUGGGAAAUCACUGUGUUCUGGAUCUCAUUGGCUGAUCUGUAAUGUAGCAGUAAGGUGAGGUAUUGAAUACUAGCAGCACUCAACUUUUACUUGCCUUUCCAUUUCGAUAACAUAUAUAUUCGGCAGCUUCAAUCUGGCCUACCUAAGUCUUACCUCGGCUCAACACCCCUCAUUUCCUGCUCUGUCCUCUGAGAGAGCCAGAGACAUGGAGGUUGAACAUUUUAGCCACCCAGAUCAUCCAUUGAUCCUCAUUAAUCAAGUUCUUGAUUAUAGUUGCGAACUAGUUAUUUGCUCUGGAUGUGAGGGACCAAUAUGGGGUCCUUGCUACAGUUGCACCUCUUGCUACUUCUUUCUUCAUAAGAAAUGCGCCGAGCUGCCCAAUGAGAUCAAGCGGCGCAUUCAUCCUAGACACCCUCUCCAUCUACUGGCAAAGUCACCAUAUGAAGGAAAAUACCUUUGUGAUCGGUGCGCCAAAACUUUCAACUGUUUUGUUUACCAUUGUUCUAUCUGUAAGUUUGAUCUUGAUAUCAAAUGUGCUUUUCCACCGGGUUUUUUUGAGGUUGAUAGUCAAUUUGCCCACAAGGAUCAUCCAUUGAUUUUGAAUGAAGAGCAAGAGUAUCUUGGUGAAGGAGUUAUGUGCUCUUUGUGCAAGGAACCAAUGUCGGGUCCUAGCUAUAGUUGCACUUCUUGCAACUUCUUUCUUCACAAGAAGUGUGCUGAGCUACCCCCGGAGAUCAAGAGGCACAUUCAUCCAGAACACCCUCUUCGUCUACUGCCAAAUCAUGAUACGAUGUGUGAUUUUUGCAACGAAACUUGCUAUGAGAGUUUUGCUUACUGCUGUUUUGUGUGCGAAUUCAACCUCCAUAUCAAAUGUGCUUUUCCACCGUGCGUUUAUGCAGCUGAUCAGGAUCAGGGGCAUCAAUUUAGACGCCUACUGAAU